AUUUUUCAUGAUUUUUUUUUUUUCAUGUAGUAACAAACGACAAACGCCUUAAUAGUUAAUACUCUAAAACUUUAAAUUUAAAAUCUCCAAGUUUGACCUACUGUCCUUAGAGUAAGUGGCAAAAGAUUUGAUAAUUGAUAUUCGAGAUCCUAAGUUCGAAUCCUAGUUGAUUCAUAUUUCUUGCUAAGUUUAUUUUCUAAAUAAAAUAAACGAAGCGGGUAGCGUGCUAUCUAUCUCUCUCUUAAAAAAAAAGUAUCUCCAAGUCUGAAUUUUCGUAUUUAAGAGAUCCUGAUUUAUAGAUCGUGCGUAAAAUUAGAGAAAUGGAGGAUGAAGAAUUAUUGCAUGUAUCGAGUAAUGUUAUUCAUAUACUUACAAAUUGGUGUAAAUUCUACACUGUCUAAUUGGUGGAUUUCUCAUCAAUCACCUUGAUGUCAUUGAUGAAAAGAUUCCACCUAUUAAAUAGGUGGGGUACAAAGUAUACGCCUUACAUGGGGUGCAUAUAUAGGUAGUAUCAAGAAAUUAAGUGCCGUCGCACGGGUUGUGCCAGAAACUUGCCAACACGAUACGUGUCGAGCCGUACCGAUCAAAAAAGUACUUUUGUGCCGACAUAUAAUAGCAUGAAAUAUUUAUUUUCUUUAGCAACAAAAUAUUCUAACUAUUUAUUAUAUCUUUUUAUUACAUCUUUUGAACUUUAUUGAGGAAAUUACUUAUUAAUUUAAAGAAUAGAGGGUUUUGAGUUGUGCCAUUGGUACGGGAUCGAUGUAUACGGCCCGUGCCGACGAAUAUCUUAAAACCUUAUAUAUUCUGAUGCAUGAAUACGUGAAUUUAUACGAGCUGAAGCCAAAAAAAAAAAAAACAAAACAAAGACAAGAAAAUCUAGAGGGGUCAGAGUGGGUUAUGUGCAUGUCACUGUUGAACGAAACGUGGAAACAGUAAGCGGGCGAAGGGCCUCUUCUGAAUAGUAUGGAUCAGUAGCAAAACUCCUUUCUAAGAUUUUAUGCGACUCACCGUCCCUAGGAGAUUUAAUGAUUGAUAUGUGAGAUCUAAAACUCAAAAUCUAAUUAUUUCAUAUUAUUAGUUGAAUUUUUUUUAAAAAAAAAUUAAUGAAGUGGAUAGCAUGCUGUACGUCUAUCUCUCUAAAAAAAAAUCUAUGCCACUCGAUCUCUGUAAAACUUUUCUUUCCACUAAAAUUGUUAAUGCUAAAUUACACUUUUGAUCAUUAAAUUAUGAGCUGUGUGACAUUUUGAUUCUCAAACUUUGAUUUAUUAUAAUAUUUUAGAUGAAUUUUUUAAAGUGUAAUCGAUGAGACGACAAUAAUUAGAUACCAUAUUACUUGCACAUUAGCGAUACGUCAAUAUUUAAUCAACUAAAUUAAAUUGUAGAAUUUAAUUUUGACAAUCCAUUCAGAAACUAGACAAUUCUUUUGAAUUUUUAAUAUUAAAAAAAUGGAAGUGCAAUAAAACUUAAGUGAAAAUUUGGGCUUUUGGAUAAAAAGGGUAUAAGAUUUCCACGUACAAUUGGAUAUACAUGCAGCAUUGCUCAUACAAAAUUUGCUGAUUUAUUUCUACAGAAGUGUUAUUGUUAGGGUAAAAAUGUUUCAAGGAGCACUGAUAAGAUUCUACACAGAACUACUCAGAAAACUAAAAGCUCAUUUUAACUACAUACCAAGGCAAAAACUGUAACUUCUCUGCUUACUACCUGAUGACUAGUAGAUACUGUAUUUUAUAGAGAAGCAAUUCCAAAAACUAUGUUAUAAAACCGGUUUUACAAAGCCAAAAUCAGUAGCAUUAUUUAUGGGCAAAUGAUUCUUCUGGCCAUGGCAUCAUACAAGAAGAUCACACAAAAAUCAGCUAAGUCUCCCUCGUCUGACAAAUCAAAACAGAUUACAACUAUAGCAACCCUACAAGACAAGAGAAGGGCUACCAAGAAGAGAGUCCAUGGGCUCCUACAAAUAGGAAAAAGGAGACUUUGGUGCUGUGCAUUGGAUUAUCAACAGUAGCUCAAACACCACCACCAUUGGAUAAACCUAAGUUUUAGUAAUGCCAUAGCCUGAUGUUAAUAGGGAUGCAAACCGGGUGGAUCUGGGGGUGGGAGCCACGCCCCGCCUCCCGCCCCGACUAGCAAAAUCCCGCCCCGCCUCCCGCCCCGAAUCCGUGACGUGUUAAAAAAUACGUCCCAUAAUCCGCCCUGCCUUGUAAUCCGCCUCCCGCCGGCACCCCGAAUCCGCCCCGCCAACUAAUAUUUUUUAUAAAAAUUAUAAUAUUAUUAAUAUUUGGUAAAAUAUAAAUUAAUAAUUUUUAAUAAAAUUAUAUAUAUAAUUUAACAAUAUCAAUUAUAAAAAUAAAAAAAUAUCAAUCGUAAUUCAAAAUAAAAUUCAAAAGUUUCAAAUACAUUAAAAAUGAAAGUACUAAUUUAUUUCUAUUUUAAACUUUUUUGUAAAUACAUUACUUUUUAGGAAUAUUUUUUAAAAAUAUAAAUGAUUUUUAGGGCGGAUCAUGGCGGGGCGGAUUGAGGGUGGGUCAAAAUUUCUCUCGUUUCCUGCCCCGAAUCCAUCUCGGAUCGUAAAAUUUACCCCGAAUCCGUUUAUUUUCUCCCAUUUACCGCCCCGUCGAGGCGGAUCGGGGCGGGAGCUCCACCAACCCAGAUCCGUUUGCAUCCCUAAUCCCAACCAACACUAGCAAGUAUUAUGAUCUAAACACAACCAAUUAUCUAAUCACUCAUAGAGAAAACAAAUAUAAAUAUUUCAAAGUAAUCGACCGUUCCUAGAGCAAGUGCAAAGGGCUUGGUGGUUGGUACUCGAGACCUAAGUUCGAAUCCUAGUUGAUUCACAUUUCCAGGUAAGUUUAUUUCUAAAUGAAAUAAACGAAGUGGUUAGCGUGCUACCUAUCUCUCUCAAAAAAAAAAAAAGAAAUAUUUCAAAGUAAGUGCAAACCAAUCAUCCAAACAGUGAAAAUCUACUUAACCUCGCAUCAAUCCUAAUCAAUCCUAAGAUUGCUGAAAACAAAGUUAGAAUCAAAACAAAGAUAAAACCCUAGGGCUUUUCCUGGGAGGAGAUCUAGGGUUUCUCAUGACGGGGUCGGGUGAGCAGAGUCAGAAACCAGCAGCGAACAAAGUGGGAGCGGAGUAAGCUCAGAGAGAAAGAAAGGAAGGAAGAGAGAGAGAGAGAAAGAAAACAUGGCGAGUCCACGCAAAGCCAGUAAUGGAAAGGUCAGGUAAGGGGGAAGUUCAUGGGGCUCGCUAGUCGACGCGCCAUGGCGAGUAGACAACGAAGCAGUGCUGAAGAAAAAGAGAUGUGAGGACAUAGGGGAAGAGCAACGGAGUCCUCCAAGCCCUAAUCCGUGCCAACCCGACAUGAUCCGGCCCUCCUCGAUCAAGAGAGUGCUUCUAGGGUUUUUAUUUAUGUCGAUCUCUUCGGAUUUAUAGAUAAAGAAGGUAAUCGAAUGACUUUUUCAGUAGAGGAAGCUAAUUGGACAGUGAUAAUAUACGAAUCGAGGGAUAGGUUUGGGAAACAAAAACNUAGUAAUGCCAUAGCCUGAUGUUAAUAGGGAUGCAAACCGGGUGGAUCUGGGGGUGGGAGCCACGCCCCGCCUCCCGCCCCGACUAGCAAAAUCCAGCCCCGCCUCACGCUCCGAAUCCGUGACGAGUUAAAAAAUACAUCCCAUAAUUCGUCCCGCCUCAUAACCCGCCUCCCGCCGGCGCCCUGAAUCCGCCCCGCCAACUAAUAUUUUUUAUAAAAUUAUAAAAUUAUUAAUAUUUUAUAAAAUAUAAAUUAAUAAUUUUUAAUAAUAUUAUAUAUAUAAUUUAAUAAUAUUAAUUAUAAAAAUUAAAAAUAUCAAUCACAAUUCAAAACAAAAUUCAUAAGUUUCAAAUACAUUAGAAAUAAGAGUACUAUCUUAUUUGUAUUUUGAAAUUUUUUGUAAAUAUAUUAUUUUUUAAAAAUAUUUUUUUUAAAUAUAAAUAAUCUUCGGGACGGAUUCGGGGUGGAUCAUGGAGGGGCGGAUUCGGGGCGGGUCAAAAUUUCUCCCGUUUCCUGCCCCGAAUCCGUUUCGGAUCGCAAAAUUUACCCCGUUUCCUGCCCGAAUCCGUUUAUUUUAUUCUAUUUACUGCCCCCGUCGGGGUGGACCGGGGCGGGAGCUCCACCAACCCGGAUCCGUUUGCAUCCCUAGAUGUUAAUACAUCCCCUAGUGCUAAAAAAUAUUUGAUAGUCCUGGCCUAUGUGGGAAUAGGGACUUCAUGUCAGAAACAAAGCAACUAAAACCAAUUGCUUUUGUUAAAAAGUAAAAGUUAAUGAUCUUGAAGUGACAUAUAGAUGCUCAAUUUCCAAUGAACAGAGUAAUUCAAGCUGCAGAGACAAAGCAUAGAACAAAAUAUCUGACAGUAAAAUUUACAGGCAAAUUAAAAGAAUGGUAGAAACCUCGAGUAGUUUGAAGAUGAUACCGAGAGCUUCUUCGUUGAAGACGAAAAGCUAAGCGCACCAACCCCAGCAGGAAAUUGAGGUCGGUAUGCGGCCGGUUCUUCUGAUAUACUCUGCUUGCUGGGCAGUUUUUGCCGCUUCUCUGUUUCUGUUGGCCUCGGCUGCUGCGCGCUUUGCCUCGGCCUUAUGCUUUGCUGCUGCCAACUUGUUCAUAAGCCUAUCGUGAGCGUUGGCUCUCAUCCUCUCCACCUCAACCUUGAUAUUCAUGGUUAAAAACAUAAGAUUCAUGUAAACAAACAAUCAAGAGAUACAGUGAACGAGGUUAGGAACAUCUGCAAGAAUCAUAGCUUUUUUCCCAUAGCCCAUUUAUCUUUUUGAACCAUAUAGCUUAUAACAAAUCUCUAAUUUCACUAGCUGUAGCUUGGAACUUAACAAGCCAUAACUGGAUUUCUUCUUAUCAACAGUUGAAUAUCCUUUUAACUUUUUCCAAAUAAAAAAAAGCAAUUACAUCUAAAGGGCAACACAUUAAAUUUUGAAUGGAAUUGAAGCACUCCUGAUGAAACUCCGAAACCUUGUAAACGAAUCCUUUUCAUUCCCUAAAGGGCCGUUAUUUUCCUUUCAGCCAAGCUGAAUUUCAAUACUAACAAAUAUUUACAAGGAGACUAAACGACAACAAGUAAUGGAAGUUAACACAGAACUAGAAUUUUUGCAGAUUUUCAGUGGUAGAUAGUUUCUAAAGGUAAUAUUAUACCUUGCCACAAACUGCAUAAGUGAAAAUUUUCAAAGGGACAUGCCAACUACAAGAGCAACAGAAUGAGAUGAUGAAAAUGUAGAUUCCACAAAUUAUCUUUAUUCUGAAUAAGUAGCCACAGUAUUACCUCAAUUUUUCUCAUUUCAGCUUCAGUUUUCGCUUUUUGAUGAUUUUCCCAUGCUUGGAUCUUCAUUUCUUCUUGUUUAAACCUAAAAAAUAAAGAAAGAUAAUUAUUACCACAGGUUGACAUCCAUAAAGUAACCAAUAUACAGAAGUUUGAAAAGUUCAGUGUUCAUCGAUUGACUUGUUUAUUCACAGACAAAGCUAAGAUACUUGUUGUCCUUAAAGAGGGUGAAAUUAGAAGCUCUAAGCAAUAAAAGAUCAUAAUAAAGUAAGAACCUGGCCAAGUAUUUUGCUUUCUCUGCCUCCUCCCAUGCUGUCGCACGGGUUUCAAUAACUCUACUAGCAGGACCUGGUUGGUCCAUGGACAAAGUAUUGAGAGAGACAGAUGCAUCUGUUCUCUGCUCCUCUCUGCUUGCCCAUGCCGCAAUGUUGGUCUUGCCUAACUGUGUGCCAAGAAUCAUUAUUUCCCUUCUAAUCUUCAUUUGCAGUUCCUGUUCGCUUAAUUCCUUUUGGCUACAAUCACCAUGAUUCUCAGCCAGGGCAGCUGCCUCUGAAGUAGGUCGUGCUCUCCUCGGAGUUGAUGGCCGCGAAGAAUUAGGGCUUCUCGUUGGUGUUGUAGAUCUUAAAGGAGUUCCAGUCCGGGAAGGUUCUUCACUUGCAAUGGGAGUCAUCUCGGUGCCCAUAUCUCUCAUGGAUACGGAUCUGACUGUUGACGGGGGAUUUACAAAUGCUGUAGCACUUUGAAGGGAUGUAGACGAAUCAUGGCGGCUAAUAGUAACUGUGAAAGGUUAAUUGACACAGGGUUGCUCAAACUAAAGUGAUGUUUGAAUAUUUUCGCAGUAAACAAUACUAAGAGAAAAGUGAUCAAGAAUUCACUCAACGAAUAUGCAAUUACUUUAUGAUACAAGGAAUUUAUUAGCCUUUUCACAGAGGAGAAGAUAAUAAUCAAAUCCAAAGUCAACAUGUAUCCAAAAAAAGUUGACCACAGUAAUAGCAAAGCAUUUGGCAUAAGUUCUUUUUCCUAGAAGCAGAAGCAGAAGCAAGGCUGUUAGCAAACAAACCCAAAAGCUGAAGCUACAAUUUGCAGCUUUUGCUUUCAAUUGUGGCAGUUCAUGCAGGAAUUUUGAUGAAAAAGCAGCUACUACUUUUUCAAAGAAUUCAGAGCUUUAACCAUGCCAAACAGGCCUAUCUUAUCAAUAGCUCGAAUCAUCAUCACCUAUCAGCAGAAUACGAAAUGACAUUGCAUAUAUAUAUAUCAUAGUAAAAUGUGACUACGAAACCAUCGCGUUUAAUGCACAAUCAAAUGCUACUUACUCUCAGAUUCAGCAACAAUAUUCUCCAUUUCUGGAUAGGGAUCAGGCACACAACAUGAAACCUUUGCUUGGUUAUGAUCAAUCCUCUUCGUUCCUAAUUCCUCCGUAACCUCGACCACUACCUUCGUGGCCGGGAACCUGUUACCAACCCCAACCUUAUCCAUCUUCUUCGGCAUUGCGCCACCAACUUUGCCUACCCUGUUCAAAUUAGGGCUUGCAAUCCACUUCUGCGCGUCGUCCCAUUUCGACGGGGCCGGUUUCGAGAAUGGCGGCAUGAUCGUUGCUGCCGCCACCAUCGCAGCUCGAUUAGGGUUCCGAUCCUUGUGGAACUCGAAAUUGGACGCUAUGCUCUCCGAAUCGAAAGAGUCCUCGUCCUGAGAUCGAAGCCUCGGAUCUCUCGAUCUGUGAGUGAUCGAGGUCUCCAACGAAGUGGAGCUCACCAUGUCCACAUCCUUGCACUCGUCGCAAACACUACCACCUAUCGAAUCCGCAUUACAGAUUCAGAAACCGAAUCGACUUAUAGGGUGGUUUUCGCAAUGUAGAGAGAUCGAGAGGGGCGAAUGCUUACGCCUUUCAUCGGUUUCCGACACGGUGAGCUCGGAUCUGAGCGAGAACUCGGACUCCACCUCUUCCGCCUCCUUCCUCCUCUUCUCCGCUCCCAACAACAUCGCCCGAAGCUUCUUCGGCGAGAACCCUCCUCCGCCCUAAAGCAUCAAAUCACCGUAAAAAAAAACAAAAAAAAAAAAGCGAUCAAAUCGACGAGAAUCAAAUGCCACGAUUUCCAAAUCUCGAUCUACAUCGAUCCUUAAUCCUCCCCAAAAUCGCCUUUCCACAAGCAACAGGAGAUCAAAUCGAAGCAAGAGACUAGACGAUCAAGUAGCAGGCGAACGGAUCUGAGAUUACCUGGUGAGAGAAUGGCUUCUCGAUCCGUUCGUAAUCCAUGGCGAGAUCUACUGCUACUCCACCACCACGAUCCCACUUCAGAGACUGCGGUGGCGCCGCCGCCGCCGCCGCCGCCGCAGGGGAGUGAGAAGGGGCCGGAGAAAUGGAUCCGAUGCGGCGGUUACUACUUGAGCUGAGUGCGGGGGGUAAGAGAAAGGGCUUGGGGUUGGGUAAUAUUACACUGUGUGCCACUCCCUUUUUUUUUUAUUUUUUCUUUAUUGAGAGUGAUUGAGAAACAGGGGAAAGUAUGGCUUUUGACCGGUCAAAAGAGCGGAUUUGGUAGGGGCAGUUACGACAUUUAAUGUGAUUGGUGAGGGUACAACGACAGAGUAGAUAAUGACGCACGGAGUACCUCACUAACGGUCACGUUUUAGGACUUUAAGUUCCGUGCCUAGUCAAAUCAUAGUCCCUUAGACACCACGAGCAAGUACAUUCGUUUGAUUUAUUUCUUUUCCAAUCUCCGUAGUAGCUCAUUAAUUCAUAACCUGUUACGGACCCAAAAAAGAUACUAAAUUACUGUUCAACUGGAUCAAUCAGUCAUUAAAUUUAUCGACAUUAUACCAUAAGGUACCGUUUGGUUCGGGGAUAAUAAAUUUGGGGAUAAAUUUUUUUAACCCUGGGAUAGUAGGCUAGUCUAGGAUAGUGAAGGAUAAAAGUAAAAUAGUGUUUGGUUUGUAAAACAAUCAUUACUAGGAAUAACAGAAAUUAUGUUUGGUAAGUUUAUUAGAAUAACUAAGAAUAGUGAGAAAAAGUGUUAGAUUAUUUUUGCAAAUACCAAUUUUGCCCUUAGGUUUCAUGUACAAAUAUUUUGUAAGUUACAGAACUAAUUAGAUUUUACAUUUAGCUAAGCAAGAGAACAUUUUAUAGACAUGAUUGUUGGAUUAAUUUUUUUUAAAAAUUUAAUGUCAGAAAUUAUGGUAGUAACAUAUGCUGAAGAGAAAAUAAUUAAAUUUAUGCACUUCAAGUCACUGUUAAAUAAAAUUAAUAUCGUCAAAUUAUACAAGAAGGUUGUUAAUUACAUCAAAUUUAAAAUUACAACAAAGUUCAAUGCUGCUUAAUUACUAUUAUACAAAACCAAACAGCAUGAAGGUAUUCAAGAGGAUGUUAAUUACAAAUUCCCAAAGGCAUAAAACCAUAAAGAAGACACAUUACAUUGAAAAAUAUCAACAACCAACUCAUACAAUUAUCAACUAUUUUUUCAAAUUUAAGCAAUUCAGAUUGCAAGUAACAAUGCAAAUAGUUAAAAAACAUCCGGUUACGAAAAAUUUUCAAACACCAAUUAGUGAAGGUUCAAGGUGAAGGCAAGAUACAUAACUAAAUAAAGCAAAUUACAAAGCAUGUUCACACAAAUUUAUAAAGAUUACAUCAUUUCUAAUAUAGCCUCCUAUCUAUUGUUCCACAAUUGCUCUGUGAUCAUAGUGCGAAGGGCGUCACCUCGCCGAGACUCAUCUGGGCCAAUAGGAGGUAUCGAGUCAUCAUUUUGGUCGUCUGUAGGAAAUUGGUCCGUUUGCAUGUUGAAGUAUCUAUCGGUCCCUUGAUGCCUCUUUAUGAAAUUGUGUAUCACACAACAGGCAAGGGCAAUGCGGCACUGUACUUUGUAAGGAAAGGGUGUAGCUUGUCGCAGCACCUUGAACCGUCGCUUUAGGAUCCCAAAGGCUUUCUCAACUACAUUUCUCAAUUGAGCGUGACGAUGAUUAUAUAAAUCUCGAGGUCCUCGAUGCCUUCGUGCCUGUGCGUUUACAUCAAAUUGGCUCAAGUGGUAUCGCUCGCCUCGAUAGGGAGCGAGGAAGCGGUCAGUGUUCGCAUAGCCUGAAUCGACUAAAUAAAAUUUUCCUAAACAAAUAUAAAGCUUUAUUAUAAUUACAAUAAUUAAACUUGUAUCAGACAUUAAAUAGCAAUAUAAUUUAUUUACCUCCCGGUACUGUGAAACCGCCGCUCUCGCAACACCAUCGCAACACCCUCAUAUCAGCUGCAGAACCCUCCCACCCGGUGCAUACAAAUAAAAAUUGAUGGUCGAAAGAACAUGCUGCCAUCAUGUUGUGAGAUGUAAAACCUUUUCGGCAACGAUAUCUUGGUUGCUUAGCCUUUCGUACAACCACCGGAAUGUGUGUUCCAUCUACUGCACCAAUUGCAUUCUGAAAAAAUAUUUACAUAGAUACAAUAGUUAACAUCAGAUAUCUCAUUAUCAAAUAAACAUAAAUUAAUUCGACUAAUUAAAGAACUCAAAUCUGAGGGUUAGUUACCUUGAAUGGAUGAAAAAUCGGAUUAUCUUUUAUUCUUGGGUGUACACCAACAUUAGAUGCCGGUGGUUGGAUGUACUCAUGUCUAAGUUCUACCACACCUCGCAGUACAUUAUUAAAAUGCCUACUAAUCGUUUCUCCUGAAUGUUGAAAAGUUUCAGCUAAAACUCUGUUGGCUACGCCAUGACCUAUACCAAAUAAAAAUAUACCAAGUUGCUCAUUAGCAGUUAAAUGCCUAGUGCUUUGUAUAAAUCCCCUCGCAACUAAUUCAUCUCGAAGUCUUAUAAACAUUGUGGUAGUCAUCCUAAAAUGUUGGUAUCCUCUAUCAGGAUGUCCACUCAAUAUGUCAUGAAUUAACUGAUGACCAGUGAACGGCCGUGUUCGACAAGGCUGCUUAUAAAUUGUGCUGCGGAAUGAGAAGUCCCCUUCUUCGAUAAGUAACGCAUGGACUUCUUCCCAAUAGUCCUCUUCCUCUUCUAAGAAUGUCAUGAGAUCGGCAACAAGUGGUGAAGAAAAAGCUUGACGAAAGAUUGCACCAGCCAUGACUGCAAAUGAACAAAAGAAAACAUUCAUAACACAAUUAUAGUUAUAGAUUAAUUUAUAAUGGCUCAGGUAGUAAGGUAGAAAAAUAUGCAGGUGGCUGCAUGGUCUUUAACCAUGCCUCCCAACCUUGCACACCUAUUUGGUUAGAUAUCAGCAUCGCCAAAAGGAGAAAGAAGGAUGCAAGAAAAGAAAAAAGGGUAAAGAAGAUGUGAAGCUGAAGCAAGAAUCAGGUGCACAAGAUUAUAAGUGACAGUAUUGCAAAUAGUCAAGUAAGCAAAUUACUGCCUUACAGCUGAAAUUCCAUAUAUGAAUCAAAGCUGAAACAAAGUAUAAAUGGUGAUACUUUGUGUUGGCUCAGGUUUUAAGACCCACAACCAUGAAUGUGGAUGCAAUACCUUACGAAUCGCCGCCCAAUCCAUUCAAGCCUGCUAGUCUUUUAUCAUCAUUGCCGAAUUCAUUGCCAAUAUGACCACAUGUAGAAUAUGAUCUGGGAGAAGAAACAACUUACCUUGGGCGGCACUGAACUAACCACAUUACUGCAGGUUGGAAGAAGAAAUGAAGCAGUGAACAGUUGGAGAUCGAGGUGAAAUGGCAUCCAACAGAAUGUGAGUAAAAGCAACAAUGUUGCAAGUACAAGUAUAGAUGGUCACAUAUUGUGUUGGCUCAGGUAUUAAGGCCCACAAGCAUGAAUGGUGGAUGCAACACCUUACGAAUCGCCGCCCAAUCCAUUCAAGUCUGCUAGUCUUUUAUCAUCAUUGCCGAAUUCAUUGCCGAUAUGACCCACAUAUACAUUUAGAUGUAGGAGAAGAAAGAACUCACCUUGGGUAGCAGUGUUCUAACCACAUCACUGCAGGUUGGAAGAAGAGAUGCAGUAGUGAACAGUUAGAGAGGUGAAAUGGCAUCCAACAGAAUGUGAGUAAAAGCAACAAUGUUGCAAUUACAAGUAUAAAUGGUGAUAUAUUGUGUUGGCUCAGGUAUUAAGGCCCACAAGUAUCAAUGGUGGCUGCAAUACCUUAAUAUUGCCCCCCAAACCAUUCACACCUGCUACUCUGUUACACAUCAUUGCCGAACGGACCAACAUGUAAACCGACAGCUGACAGGAGAGAAGAAGAAAAGUUAUACAAUGAAGUAAACAAGCAGCGAACAAUCAAUGCAAAGAUAGGUAUACAAAGCUGUAUUCGAACUACACUCAUUUGUUAUACCUGAACUUUACAAUCUGAACAAACUAGUUUUACAAUGCAGUAAACAGGUAGUGAAGAAACAAUAUAAAGAAAGCUAUAUAAAGCUGUAGAUGAUCUACACUAAUUAUUUAUACAUGAACUAUACAAUCUGAACAAACAAAUUUUACAAUAAAGUAAACAGACAGUGAAGAAGCAAUGCAAAGAAAGCUAUACGAAGUUGUAUAUAAAUUACACCAAUUAGUUAUACAUUAUCUUUACAAUCUCAAAAAACAAGUUUUACAAUUUAGUAAACCUGACAGUGAGAAAUCAAUGCAAGUAAACCAAUACAAAGCUGUAGAUAAACUACACCAAUUAGUUAUACAUGAUCUUUACAAUCUGAACAAACAAGUUUUUCAAUAAGGUACACAGGCAGUGAAGAAAUAAUGCAAAGAAAACUAUACAAAGCUGUAGAUGAAAUUCACUAAUUAUUUAUACAUGAUCUAUACAAUCUGAAGAAACAAGUUUUACAAUUUAGUAAACUGACAGUGAAGAAGCAAUAUAAAGACAACUAUACAAAGCUGUGGAUGAACUUCACUAAUUAUUUAUACAUGAUCUAUACAAUCUGAACAAACAAGUUUUACAAUUUAGUAAACUGACAGUGAAGAAGCAAUAUAAAACAACUAUACAAAGCUGUGGAUGAACUUCACUAAUUAUUUAUACAUGAUCUAUACAAUCUGAACAAACAAGUUUUGCAAUUUUGUAAACUGACAGUGAAGAAUCAAUGCAAAAAAAGCUAUAAAAAGCUGUAGCUGAACUACACUAAUUAGUUAUGCAUGAACUUUACAAUAUGAAUAAACAAUUUUUUCAAUAAGGUACACAGACAGUGAAGAAACAGUGCAAAGAAAACUUUACAAAGCUGUAGGUGAAAUUCACUAAUUAUUUAUACAUGAUCUAUACAAUCUGAACAAACAAAUUUUACAAUUUAGUAAACUGACAGUGAAGAAUCAAUGCAAAAAAAGCUAUAAAAAACUGUAGUUGAACUACACUAAUUAGUUAUGCAUGAACUUUACAAUAUGAACAAACAAGUUUUACAAUGCAGUAAAUAGGCAGUGAAUAAGCAAUGCAAAAGAAGUUAUACAAAACUGUAGAUGAACUACAUUAAUUAGUUACAAAUGAACUUUGUAAGAUAGUUGGUGUCAAACUAAUGAAACUAAACAAACUCACAAAAAUGUACAUAACCAUGAACUUUGCAAUUAAAAGUUAAGGCAUACAACUUAAAUCAGUACAAAAUAAACCAUGAUCUAACUUAUCCUAAUCAUGAGUUAGAGCAAACAAACAACUGAAAUUGAAAUACAACAUAUAAAGUAAAGCAUACAACUAAUAUAAAAGGGAGCAAUCCAUUAGUUUAGGCAUGUAGGCAUCUCGGCUACCAAGCACACAAAAUAGCUAAUGAGUUUUUGCUAACAUAAAGCAUAAAUACUAAGCGUGAGCCAUGGACACAAAAUAGCUAAUGAGUUCUUGCUUACAUAAAGCAUAAGUACUAAGAGUGAGGCCACCAAAAUGUCGCUACUUCAGCAAUAUUGCUGUGAGCUUAAUUUGGAGGGAAAGAACUCCCUGCCGGAGGAAAGGAAGGUAUAUCAGCAGGAUCGGAAGGAGCUGAUAGAGGAAACAUGGUUGUACGGCUUGAAAAAGAUGGUCCAGGAGGGAAACCUGCACUUGCUGCCGGAAAGGAUGAUGGUCCAGGAGCAAAUGAUGAGGCUGUUGUUGGAAAGAAGGGUGCGGUUGAUGGGAAAGAUGGCGCAACAGGCCUGAGACCAGUGAAAAGUUGAUGCAUGGCAAUUUGACGAUCUAUCCACAUAUACAACAGAUCGCCAUUCAUUGCCAUGAAAAUUGGCCUAUUGCGCUCAUCUUUUAAAGCUUCACAAACAGCAAGUAAACCAUCGGGAGACAACUUAGCGACAUUGCUCAACCUUUCCAUACACUCCUCUAUGGAGUGAAUUUUGGGUCUUGCAUGUAACUCACGUUGCAUUAAAGUUUGAGCAAUCUCCGUUCUUUUCUUUCCCAAUUCAACAAGCUCAUAAAUUGCUUCCGUUCGACCGUCAUCCUUACGUCUACGGGUUGAAGAUGGUGUAGGGAUUGGUGGCGAGACCCGAACCCUCUUCAUUGAUGAAGUGUGGCCAGAGGCACUACCAGUAUAUUGGCUACUUACUUUAAUUGGAGUUUGUGUUGGAGACGUUGAAUUUGCAUCAUUAGCAUCAUCUAAAUUCUGUGCUAGAUUCUCCAUAUUGAGCGCAACCGGAGAUGAUGAAGAGGUGCUACGAACAUCCUCAUCCAUGUUGGAAGUAAACCCAUGCUUCCCGGUUGCAGUUGCUUUUCCCGACAAAUACUCAAUAGAGUCAUAUGCAGGAAAAGGCUUGUCCCUACAUUUAGCAUAUGCUGGAUUUUCCUACAAAUGUGGAAAUCAUUGAUGAUAAGUUAAUAAAAUCUAUGUAAAUAAAACAACUUGACUUAUAUAAAAAUUUUGAACAGAAUAAAAAACUUACCGCUAUGAUAGCAUCCCAAUCAGCUGGGUCACCGGCAGUGGGAAUGUUUUGGAUGUGGUCCCACCCCCAUCCACUUUUGUUUGCCAAAGUUUGAUACAUCAAAUAUUGACGCUUCAAGACUUUUAACCGAUUUUGCAAAUUGACUUUGUUAAAGCAUAAUUUUGUCCUCUCAUUGAAAUCGUGAACCAUUCGAGUCCAUGCUAAUGGGGUAAAGCUCCCAUUAACAAAAUUACCAAGAGCAUGCUCCUCAGUCAUUAAGUUCAACAUUGCCGAGUCCAUAUUUUCUGUCCAGUUCGAGGAUCUUACUCGGGUUUUCGAUGGUUCCUGCGGUGGCCCAUCUAAACUUUGACUAUCAGCAGAGGGCGCAGCAAAACCUUUGUUUUUCAACGACUUUUUAAGAUGGGCCAUCUGGGAUAAACAAACAUAGAAAUCAUAUUUGUAUUACAACAAAUAUAUAAUACUGGUUUAGCACAAUAUUUGAGUGAUAUGUUAUUUUGUCAAAAUGCUCAGGGGAGAAGGUUACAUAUGAUUUCAUGACGGAUGCAAUAGUUUUUAAAAAACCAUGCCGCCCAUGCCAUGAAUAUAUAUAUAUCGCCUUUCCCUACAUCAUUGCCAUUAUAUUUUUAAAACCGUGCCUCAAACAAACUGAAUUAGAUCAGGAUAUAGCUAGCAACUUUCAAUUCAUCAUAGGACCUCUUUGCAAUCUUAUAUUGAAUUAUGAUUAGGUGAAGUAAUUUCAGCUUGAAAGUUUCUUCAAAUCAAAUGAUCAAACUUGUACAGCUUUCUAUAGUUUUCUUUGCAUUGCUUCUUCACUCCCUGUUUACUUCAUUAUAAAACUUGGUUGUUCAGAUUGUAUAGUUCAUGUAUAAAUAAUCAGUGUAGUUCAUCUCAUAUUUUUUCAAAAUGCUCAGGGGACAAGGCUACACAUAAUUCCAUGACGGAUGCAAUAGUUUAAAAAAAACCAUGCCACCCAUGCCUUGAAUAUAUAUAUCGCCUUUCCCUACAUCAUUGCUAUUUUUUUAAAAAAAUCCAUGCCUCAAACUGAACUGGAUUAGAUCAGAAUGUAGCUAGCAGCUUUCAAUUCAUCAUAUGACCUCUUUGCAAUCUUACACUGAGUUAUGUUCAGCUACAAAUAAUUUCAGCUUCGAAUUAUCUUCAAAUCAAAAGAUCAAAGUUGUAUAAAAAAAAAUAUAGAAACUGUAUGAUGCAGUCAUAAAGUAUGAUCAGCAAUACAUGGGUGCUGUCAUAAAUUAUGGCAAUAGGAAAAUUAUAAAUCAAGCAUAAAGUCAGGAUGCAAAGUUUCUGUGUAUCAAAUAAAAUUUUUAAGAAACUGUGGGUUUGUAAAAUAUCUUGAAAUAGUUUAAAAAAUGAGAUUUAACAGCAUGCGAGCAAAAGAGACAGACAGAUCCAAAAUACACUAGAAAAUUGGGGUAAAAUCCAUAAAACCUCACCUCGACGAGAUUAAUAGAAGGCAGAAAUUAUCAAGAGUGAACUUCUACACCAGCACAGAUAUAGUAUAGAAGCAAAGAUCAGAUUCCAAGCAAGAUGCAAAAAAGAACCAGUACCUUCGAAUCCCACUCAAUUUUAUAGAUGAAAGGGGGCACAAAUAGUCCAUGCCUUCUACCUGCAAGGCUAGUGGUCGCACUAAAUGGGCGACUUGACAACACAGGGCAUACAUCCUGCAGAACCCACCUCGAUUUCUUGCCUCAGAAGCCCACAACAGAUUUUGAGCGAAGGAAAAACCAAUUUAUACCAGUCAAAUCCGAGGGUUUGAGAGAGGGGAUACAAAAGAAAACAGAUCUCAACUGGGAUCUUCCUCACAGACUGCGAGAGGAGUAUAGAAGAAGAAAGUAAAGGGCAAAGAGGAGUUACCGAUGAACGCAGAUCUGAUACAAGAUCUCGCUCAUUGAUUAUGCUGACUGCGAAAUGACAAAAGAGGCAUAAAGCGAUGGUUUAUGCUCGCCCAACACGAGGGGGAGGGAGAUCGGCGGAGUAAUGAGCGAAGAGAGAGGUAGGUGAAGAGCAUUAACGAAGAAGAAGAGGCGAAGGUAGGUGAAGAGCAAUAACGAAGAAGAAGGAGAAGGGGCAUCGCAGCUUUUUCCAACCCAUGCCCCUGGGAUAAACCAGCGGAAAUGCCCUAUUCCGCUGGUCCCAGGGGUUAGCUCUUAACGGGUUAUCCAAGGAUAACCCGUUAAGAGCGGGAUUAAUUAUCCCACCAAAAAACUGCACUGUUUGGAAGGUUUAGCAGGAUAAAAUGGUCUAAACCCACUUUAUCCUGCCAACCAAACACUGCCUAAAUAAAUAAAUAUUAUUAAUUAUAAAAUAAUAAAAAUAUAAAAGAUAAUUUUAAAUAAAAUUAAUUGAACCGUCUGCUUAAUAAUUUAUAGUUCGAAUCAGUUUAAUUAACACUUAAGCUGAUCUACGGUUUACCGAUUGAACCUUUGGUUAAAACAAGGUAAUACAGGUUUGAAAGUUUUUCCAUUUAUAGGGGCCGUUUGGUUAGAUGUAAUUAUAAAUACAGUGUAGUUAGAAAUGCAAGCAGUUUGAAAUACAGCAGUUAUAACUAUAUGAAUCUUAUUUGGUUGGAUGUAGUAGAAAACGCUGUAAGUAUAAAUAAUUUGUUUGGUUGUAUGCAGUUGAGAAAUAAUUUUUAAAAUUUUAUUAUUUUAUAUAUAUGAUGGUAAGAUUACCUCUAAUAUAAAAAAAAAAAAAAAUUUUAUUUAAAAAAUAUUCAGGAGGUAAGCAUACCUUUUAUUUAAAAUUACUUUUUUCAACUACUGUAGUUGGAACUGCGGCCAAUUUGGAUGUAGUUCGAACUGCUGCAAUUGGGCCUCCUCCUGCAGUUCCUACUGCAGUAAGGGGUUGUUUUGUUGCACUCAUUUGCAACUGCAGCAGUACAGUUGCAAAUGCGUGCAGCCUCAAUUCUUUUGUUUGGUUUAGUGUAGUUGAGUUCAACUGUUGCAGUUCCAACUACACAAGAAGGUCCAAAUGCUGCAGUUGAAACUAUAUCCAAAUUGGCCGUAGUUCUAACUGCAGCAGUUGGUGAUGGAUAGGAUCACCCACAAAUUAACAAUAAUAAAUAAAUAAAUAAAUAGCUAAAUAAAUAAAUAAUAUAUGUAUAUAGGUAAAUAAAAAUACUUGUAAAUAAACUCAUACUAAUAAAAUUUUUUAGACAAUACAAGCUUUGUGCAAAAAAAUCAAAAUUUUUAAAUUUUUUUUAUUUAAAAUAUAAAUAUAGUUUUUUUAAAAAAAUUUUAUAGAAUGUGAUCGUGUAUGUUAAUUUAAUAAGUUUUAAUUAAUUAUAAUUAUUAAAUUUGAUAAAAAAAAUGAGAGAAUCGUUAAAUUUUAAAGUUCGAUUUACAUAUUAAAAUUAAAUAAAUUAAAAAUUUUAAAUAUGUCGAUUAAUAAGUUGAAGAAUAUUAUAUAUAUCUACUUAUUUAUUUAUAAAUAGUAAAUUUAAAUGAUUAAUAAACUUAUACAAUUAUUUUAUGUUUAGUGAAGGUAAUCUCACCACUCUAUCUGAAAAGGUGACAAAAUUCACAAAUACAACUAUCAGCUUCAUAUUACCAAACAGAAGAAAUGUAACUGCAGCAGUUGCAACUGCGUAAAACCAAACAGACUAGGUGUAGUUACAACUGCAGCAUUUACAACUGCAUGUAUUUUCAACUACACUGUUUCUGCAACUACGUCCAACCAAACAGUCCCUAAUUGGAGUUAAAUAUAUCAAACCAAAAACGAAAUUUACAUUUACAUGCAGUUACAACUACAAUGCAAUUGUAACUACAUGCAACCAACCGGCCUCUUAAUGGGUUGAACCAAACCGGUCUAGAGCAUAUACACGGAUACGAAAUACAUGAUAUGACACGAACAUGAUGACUUAGAGUGUUCAAAAAGUUUGACAUGGACACGAUAUGACCACUUAUUAAAAUAAUAAUUAUUAUAUAUAAAAUAUUAAAUUUGUUAAAAUACUUUUAUAUUUCAUAAAAUUUUUACUGAUUGUUGAUAUGGUUUAAGGAAAGAAAAUUUUCAUCAUAUUUAAUUUAUUUAUAUUGCCCAAAAAAUUUAUAUACAUUCACAAAAAAAAAAAACAAAAUAUAAAUAAUUUUACAUUUUAUAUGCAUAAAAAAUAAAAUAAAAAAUGUAUAUUUUAAGGGAUGCGUCAUGGAUCAAUGUCAAACGGAUCUACAUAGCGUGUUGAGACUUAUAGAAAUAUAAGUGAUAUAUAGUGCAUAAUUGAAUUAUUUAAUACUGAAAUUUUAACACGUUAUAUGAUGCAUAAAUCUAGCGACAAUUGAAUCAAUAAUCUCAUAGAAUGAGAGAUUGUUAAAUUGACUUUAAAAUUAUGUUACGCAAAAGAAUGAUCUAAUAAGAAACGAGUUCAAAAACAUUUAUCAACAAAUUUAAAGUAAUUGACACAAUUUAUGUAAUAUGAUUAGAUUCCUACACACAAUAUGUAAUAUAAAUGGCUGUUACAUAAUGCAUUUAAUGCUACAUGUGAAAACAUGAACAAUUGCAACAACAUUCUUUUGAGUUGGCCUACUGGCCUAGUCAGAUAGGUGGAAACAUCUAGUCCCUUCGAAUUAAACUCCUCGAACUACUACAAUCGUGAUUUGAUGUUAGAGAUUCUCAUGUACCAUGUGUUCAAUCAAAGAUCUGUGACAUGAAUGGUUCUGAGAAGUGAACAGUUGAUGAGAGUUUUUUCUUUUCCCUCCUAAUAUCAUGCUAUUGACCAUUGAACAAUUAAUGCGUGUGGGCAUUUGCAGAUUGAAAUUUCCCUGAAACUGACUUUUUUUCUCUUCUUUUUUUUGACAUUCAUGCUCUUUGAAGUAUCUCCAAGCUACCUAAAUUCAAAAUUUCGAACUUUCUCAACUUAGCCAAUGGUCAAUGACACAGGCAGUGUGUUAAUUAAUCGACUUAUCGCUAUAUAAAUUAUCUUAAUAUCUGAUAAUACUUGAUUGGUUAAACUAAUGAGGAACUCAAGCGUAAGCGUAAGUGUUUUUAGAGAUACCGAGGAUAAGUAACUAAUGUAGAAUUGAAAGAAUAAGAGUAAGUAUGUUAAAUAAUGUAAAUUUCAGAGUUUAAAUAAUGUAAAACGACGGUUCGUAUCUAAAAGCUUAAGAUUCUAAAUAACGAUAGUUUUAUAUUUUAUAUUCAACAAAACACAACUAUUUCAUAGCAUACAGAUUUGUUUCGACAAGUUUGUAAAAUUCAAAGUUCUAUUUUGCAAGUUUGGAAAUUACUCUCUUAUCUCCCAUCUCAUCCUUCAGAGUCAGAAACAAAGAGGCAAUUCAUGUUUGUGAAUGCUUUGGUUCUCAACCAUGUCAGAUAAGAAAGAUGGAGAAUGAUUACUAGUGCAGGAGAAGUAACAAAGCAUAAGUAGCAUCGAAAAAUUGCAGAGUAAAAGCAUGCAAAGUUGAUAAAAAAACAACUGCAGUGAAAACUCACUAGGGUAAAAUAUACGGAUAGUCGCUGUAUUAGACCAAGGAAUGUUACUACUUAUAAACCGCCUACCGAUUAUGUAACCCUGAUUAUCUUACCUCAUUUUCUUAAAAAAAAAAGAGAAUGAAAUAACCUGAGUGACAAAUUUUCAGCGAGCUGCGCCCAGUUUAUGAUAAAGUCAUGAAGCAAUUGCAGAAGUAAGCAAAAGCAGAGUAAAUACUCAGCCAGUAAAGCUUAACUAGUCCAAUUGCUUAAAAACCAAUUCAUUUUACAUCAUUUUAGAGGACCCCCAAAUCCCAGAACACCAUGAACUAAACCUCAGGAAUCUAAUUACAAGAGAGGAGAACAAAAUGUGUCAGAAAAGGUUUUACUGACAUAGAAGAGCAUCAUACAAAGCUGUGUCCUCCUCUUUCUCUCUCGAUCCAGUAAACCUCUUGAUGCCAACAAAAUUGCUCUUUAUCUCUGAAUCUGUCUCACUUACAAAACCCUGAGAAGGACAUUUUCUGCGACUAGAGGAUCUACUACCAUGAAUUCAUAUAUUGGCAUUUACACCGUGUGAUUCCGGCUUUCGGAACAAAAAACGGGUCCUAAUUUACUUUUCAGUUGUUCGCAAAGCCACAUCCAUCAUACAAGGAUUCUGAUUCUUAAGAAGGGAACAGAGAUUCCCGGCAUGGUUAACAGUAUUUCAUCCUAAGUUUCACCUUAGUCGCAUACAUUUAUCCUAUUCAUGAUGCCAGGAUUAUGGAAGUGAGAAGAUCAAUAAACCAUGAUUUACCUGUGCACACAUUGACACAUAUAGAACCUAGUGCGAAUAAAAGAUCCCAUGAACCUUCAGAAAUUACCUGGAAUGCAUUGCAUUAUGUCUCAAAACCGAAAAAUAUCAAUAAUAAACUUGUUAUCAUCACAUUUACGAAAACUAACAGGUCCUUCCACAGUUCAGGUAAAAUAUAGCUCUAUUGAUAGAAAACUUUCACUUACAACUUUACAUGAGUAUUGUUUCCUCUGGUGGCGAUCUCAUCUCCACCUUACAGUGAAAAAAAAAGAAAGAAACAAAAAUAAAAAAAGAAAUUGCCCAAAGCCGACAAAAAAGAAACAAAAGGAGAGCUUUAACAUUUUGAGGAUAAGUAAAUGUUAUAUACAUUGGUUCUCCAUUAUUCUUUUAGGCACCUGCUAUUUGGACGCAGAUUUUCAAGUCCUUCACUUCGUCAACAACCGAUUUCCUCAAGCCAUGCGAGUAAUUGUUGCGACAAAGGCCUCAAUUUAGGGGAGUCACUAACACAGAGGCACGCAAUCUCGAGCAUUCUCAUAACCUCAUUAUUGUUCUCCUUAUCAUAUAUAUGCGGGUCGAUGACCUCCAUUCCCUUCUUUUCCUUCUUCAUCUGAAUUACCCAAGAAACAACAUCCCUACUUCCUUUCGGCUUACACAUGUCCACGGGCCUCCUCCCUGUAAGUAACUCUAGCAAAACAACCCCAAAACUAUACACAUCGCCUUUAUACGUCGCGACCGCAGAUUGCCCAUAUUCAGGAGGAAUAUAUCCCAAAGUCCCGACGAGAUCGGUAGUAACAUGUGUAUCGUAGGGCAAAAUUAGCCUCGCGAGCCCGAAAUCCGCCAAGUGUGCCUCGAAAUUCUCAUCUAGCAAGAUGUUACUAGACUUAAUAUCCCGAUGUAGGAUAUGAGGGUCGCAAGAUUGGUGCAAGUAUGCUAAACCCCUCGCGGCCCCUUGUGCUAUUUGAAUUCGCUUGCCCCAGUCGAGGACCGCACCCCCUUCUACCUUUUCAUGAAGCCAGUAGUCCAAACUCCCGUUCUCCAUGAACGAAUAGAUCAGGAGCCGGUCAUUGCCGAUCCUGCAAUACCCUUGGAGCAGAACAAGAUUCGUGUGCUGGGCUCUUGAAAGGGUUUCGACCUCGGCAUGGAAUUCCCUCUCCAUCUGACAAUAAUCGCCGGAAAGCCGUUUGAUAGCCACCUUACUUCCGUCCGGUAAAGUUGCUUUGUAGACCAACCCAAAGCCGCCGCAUCCGAUAAUGCGAGACUGAUCAAAGUUCUCGGUGGACUUCAGUAUAUCAUUUAUGCUCAGCUCCUUGCUCUCCUUGUUCUGAAACAGUAGAACCAAUCUCGACCCAGCCAACUCUAAGCUAUAAUCGAGGUCUGCCACGACCUUCGCAUUAUCUUCUCUUUUCCUAGACCGAAUUCUCAAAACGAUUAUAUAUGUAGCAAUGAUAAGGGAAGCGAUCCCCGCUCCGAUUCCAAUUGCCAAUCCGACUAUCGUGCCUUUUUUCUUAUGCUUCGUACUAUCCACCUGCGAAGAGGCGUUUUUUGGGCAAGGAAUCAAGUGAAUGCCACAUAGGCCAGGAUUUCCUUGAAAGUCUUCUUUAGAGAAAGUUGAGAACUGGCCUCCUGUUGGGAUUUCUCCAACUAAAUUGUUGUAGGCCACAUUGAAGUAAGAAAGAAAAUUCAACCUCGUCAAAGAUAGUGGUAUGGUACCGGUGAGAUGGUUGUGCGAUAAAUCCAAGGAUUCUAAACUCGACAUGCCCGACAAAUCGGGAAUAGUUCCCGAGAUAUUGUUCCAACUCAAAUCCAACACAUGGAGCUUCACAAGGUCGUUAAACCCAGGCAAGAUCGACCCAACAAGCUUAUUGUUGCUCAAAAUUAUCGACGGUGGAAAGCUGCUAACUUGAUUGUAUUGUAGACCCUUCCCACUCGAAUUUCUCUUGAUGAAAAAGGGAAAAUCUUGUGAUGCCGUCCUUUCUAGCGAUGAGUUACCGUAGAUGAGGCUCUUCAUGAGUGUUAAACUAGUAGGAAUUUCUCCGGUGAGCGAAUUAUUCGAUAUGUCCAAGUAGAAGAGAUUGUCCAGGUUUCCCAACCAUACAGGGAUCGUCCCGGUUAAAUGGUUCCAGGAAAUGUCCAAGACCUUCAAUUUGCUCAGAUUCACCAACCACGGCGGGAUAGAACCCGAAAGAGCACAAUUCGCAAUGACAAAGACUUCCGUGUUAGCAAAUCCUUGAAUCCCUUCGGACGGCAUUGACUCACCACCGCGAAAGUUCUUAGUGAACACAAGGUUUUUAAGAUUGGGCAAGUUUUGUAGGAUUUGUAGUGCCGAGAAUAAGUUGGCGAAGUUGUUUCCGGUGAGCGAGAGAUCGGACAGGGAGGUGAAGUUCUUGAAGCUAGAGGGUAUUUCGCCAACAAGAUUGUUUCUAGCAAGAUUUAAGGUGGUCAUUUGCGUGCAAUUGGGCAGAUCGGGAGGGAUAGGUCCGGAAAACAAAUUCGAUCCGAGGUCGAGGAUGUUUAACCUCGGCAAGGUUGUAAAGUUGAGAUCGAUGGUCCCCCGAAGAGAGUUAUUUCUCAAGCUAAUAGUAGUGAGUGUUGAACAACUAGACAAAGAAGGGGGUAAACCCCCAGUGAGUAUAUUGCAUAAAGCACUAAAGCACUCUAGCUUAUUUAAUCUAUCAAAUACAUCCGGGAUCACCCCGGAAAAGUUAUUGGAGGAAAUAUCUACAUGGACAAGGUUGGAAAGGUUUCCAAUGUUUGUGCUCACAGUACCAGAUAGUGAAUUCCCCUGGAGGUUUAGUUUGGUCAACGAGGAUAGUGUAAAGAGAUCAUCGGGCAAAGUUCCGGUAAGGCCAUUUGCAUCGAGCAAGAGCUCGGAAAGGGAACUGCAGUUCCCGAAGCCGGCAGGGAACUCGCCGGAGAACAUGUUCGCCGAGAACCGAAGCACUUUAAUGGAAUCAGAGGAAUUGCAGAUACCUGUAUCGACGGGGCCCCAGAAGCGGUUCAAGCUGACGUCGUAGACUGAUAGAUUGCUCGAUCCGGCGAAGAUCGGGUGCGUGCCGUUGAAUGAAUUGAAGGAGAUGUUGAAUACCUGAAUCGACGAUAGGUUCGAUUCUGCAGGGAUAAGCCCAGAUAACAUGUUCGUACUAAGAUCAAGGAGCUCCAAGUGGGGGAGAUGGAAUAGCUCCACAGGAACCGGUCCACGAAGGGAAUUGUAGGAGAGAUUGAGCAGCUUCAAUUGAUCUAAUCCGCCCAGAGAAGAAGAGACGGAGCCCUUUAAACUCUUCUUGGACAGAUCCAAACCAAUCACCCUCUUCACCAGAGCAGAGCCCAAAUCACAUGAUAUCCCAACCCAAUUACAGCAAUCUGAAGAGGACGACCCAUUAAAGCUCCACCCAAGAUCACUCGAUUGGAGCCCUUCCACAAAGCCCUGGAGCGCAUUCAAAUCGCUCGAGUCGCAGCUUUGUUGGCUCUGGGAACAGCAGAGGGGAGCGAAGAGGAGCAAGAGGAGGAGGGAGGAGAAGCAGGGGAGUCCCCUGUUUCCCAUUUCAGCGGGUUCCCAGAAGAGGCGAGGGGGUGAAGUGGGUAAAGGAGACUCUUUUAUGGAAGAGCAUCGAGGAUUAGCAAAACCCAGUUGAGAUUUUGGCCUUACUCCAAGUGGCUUGGGAGGAAAAAGAAGAGGUGGUGGUGGUGAAGGAGAAGAGCUUAAAUUGUUCACAUCAAUGGCGAGAGAGAGAGAGAGAGAGAGAGAGAGAAAGGGAGUGCGUGGUUUGGAUUUUUCCCCGUAGUUUACUUCUUCUUCUUCUUCUUCUUCUUCUUCUAUAUAAUUUAUUUUAUUUAAUUUUCUUUCUUCUUUCUCGUGCUUCUUUAUUACUUAAUUCAACGCACUAUUGCUAAAAAAUUUUUUCCCCCUUUCUUUGUAGGUAAUUAAAAAAAAGGGCGGUGGUUUGUUGAAGGUUUGGAACGGCGAAGACGAAAAGAGCAAAAAGAGGAAAGUCCAGAAAUUAUUCCAUGCACCUGGAGCACCAAAUGCCAUAUUACCCUGAGUAUCAGCAUACUAUAUAGUGACGAUUUAGUCCAUAAUAUUAAAGCUUUUUUAAAAUCAUUCGACUCUUUAUAUAGUAUUAAAUCAUAUCUAUAUAUCAAUUUGAAUUCUUAUUUUAAUACAUUUAUUAUUAUUAUUAAAUAUUAAGUACGGUGCGUGAGUUAUAAGUAUACACGCGGUGUAGGGAUCAAGAACACCGUUUAGGGGGAGGGGGAGUGAGAGAGACGGAGAGAGGGUGACCGGGGAACAGGAGUCGUGACCGGCUGUAGGCGGUAGGCUCUGAACGGCGCACUCGGGUGGUGACCGGGUGCAGGAGGUCAACGGUCAGGCGGGGGCGACACGUUGGAGAGAGAGGCGCGCAUUUCGAAGCCGCCGUGCCGACGUGGCGCGUCCUGUUUAUGUUUAUGAUUGCAAAAAUUUCUUCUUGCGCUAGUAUUAUGUGAUUUAAAGUGUCAUUUUCACACGCUAUAAUUUUAUUUUUUGGCUAUUUUUUUACUAUUUUUUUAUUUAAUUAGUGACAAAAUUAAAAUUAAAAGAUACCUAAGUAAAUUAUAAAUAGGGUAUCUAAAAUUUGUUGUAUAUGAUUUAACGAAAAGUUAACGAAGAGAUUGGUGAAAAAAAAAAACCACCAAACACUAAAUUGAUACAUUUUAAACCAUAUGAUACUAAAAUGAGAAAUUGUGAAAUUACUGGGAUGGUAUUUGAAGAUUACCCUUUAUAAUUUUUAUUUUUAUUACAAAAGUUAGAAAAAUGAAAAUAUUUGACUUUUCAGGAAAUUCUAGAAAACAUUUUAGGAAUCAAUCAAAUUUACUAAUAAUUUUAUCAUUUAUUUAAUGAUAUUAUUUACUUUUUAGUAGAUAAAAGUAGACCAAUGAAUGGUUAAUAUAUUACUAAUAACCAUUCAUUGAUAUAGUUUAAGGAAAGAGCUUUCCUCAUAGGGUUUGUGAUAGAGUGGAGAUGGAGAAAAGCAAAGAGCUAAAAUUGGGUUCUUAGUUGUGUCAUUGUUACUCCAUUACUUUUGUAAAAAGAAGAGAUGUGCAACAAAAGAAAAUCCUUUACUUUAGAGGAAUCAUAAUCUAUUUGGCUUCGCUUCUUAACGCGCACUUCAGGAUAUGCGCGUUAGCAUCAAAAAAAUUUACAAGUUAGAUAAUAGAUAUUUUUGUUUGCCCGUCUAUCCCCAAAUUAUUAUCUACAAAUGUACUUUUAAUAAGUUAUUAAUGAGCAAUAAAUGAAACUUGGCGGGAUAAUAUAGCUCGCUUAUGAACAAAGCCAAACACGCACUGAAUAUCAAAGUUGCUAAUAAAGAUAAACCAAAAUGUUAUUGCAUAAUAGAAUAAGUAGAACCUUAGUUUGUAGUAUAUGUUUUUCAAUUAUCAAUUUGUUUAUUUGUUCAUAUUGAUUUUUUAAUUAUCAAUUUAAUUGUCAUGAGGUUUUAUAUAUAGAUAUGACAUUAGAAAGUUAGAAUAACAAGAAAAUCUUUUGUUAGGAUAUAUAUUAUACCCAAUAUAUCUUUGAUAUAAUAUGGUUACCGUGUACACCUUUAUUCUUGUAAAUUUAUUUUAAUGAAAACUUAAAGAAUCAUUUGUAUUUUCUCCAAAAGAAAAGCUUCCACACUUAAAAAAGAAAACAAAAAAAAAAUCAUACUUAGAAAGUUGAAAGAGAAAAUGAAAAGGCUACUGUCAAGUUGUUGCCAAUUGGUGUGAACACUUUGCUCAAGUUAAAAUUUAGGGAAAACUUUAAAAACCUGUUUUGUGGUUUUACUUUUUCUCACUUUAGUAUUCUGUGGUUUAAACUGUAUCAAGUUAAUACUUGUGGUUUCGCACUUUUUUACUUUAGUACUCUGUAGUUUAAGGUGUAUCAAGUUAGUACCAUGUGGUUGCGGUUUUGCACUUUAUCAUUUUAGUAUCCUGUGGUUUCGCACUUUAUCACUUUAGUACCCUGUGAUUUAAAAACUAUAUGGUACUAACUUGAUACAAAAAUAAAACCACAUGGUACUAACUUGAAACAAAAAUAAAACAACAGAGUACUAACUUGAAGCAAAAAUAAACCACAGAUAUACACUUUAAACCACAGGGUACUAAAGUGAUAAAGUGAGAAACCACAGGAUACUAAUUUGAUAUACUUUAAACUAUAGGGUACCAAAAUAAAAAAAUAUAAAACCACACACACACACACACACAUAUAUAUAUAUAUAUAUAUAUAUAUAUAUAUAUAUAUAUAUAUAUAGUUUGACUAUAGUGUUUCCCGAAGUAUUAAGGAGUUGGUAUCGAUUUAAUAUAAUAAGUGGAAUAGUAAAUAAUUCAAGGGCUAAAAACUGUAUAGUAAUUACUAUUCAUCUACCGUCGAUGGUAGCAUAAAUGGACUCAUUUUUUUUUCAUAUAUAAAAAUAAAUCCUACCUGUUGAAAAUGAACUAAAGUUAAUUAAUCAUCCACCUAAUUUUUUGGGAAAAUAUUUAUUUACAAACCAACUACCAUGUGUCAUUGGGAUCAAAUGACAUCAUGUUAAACAUUUUGACUUGGAAAUAUUGAAAUUGAUCAACUACUAUCUAGAGUCCAUUGACCAACACCAAUUUUAGGAAUUUUUAAAGAUUAUUUAGACCAGGAAAAAAGGAAACAACUUUUUUUUUUUUUUUUUUUUCCUUUUGUUUUCCUUCACUCUUUUAAUAAAUAAUGCAAUAAUCUAUUUGCAAGUAGACCUUUCCCUCUAUUUGAUGUCAGGUAAAGCUAUUUUAGUCAUGAGGAUUAUGAGGUUUAGGUUAAAUUAUACAUAUCUUAUUUGAACUAUAUAUUGCUUAUUUAAAAUUAAUAUCUUGACUUUUAAAAUUUUCACUAUAUUAAUGGUUAUCUAAUCUUAGUAGUAUUUAUAACAUUUUAAUUGAAUACUUUGUAAUCUAACGGAGUAUUCUACAACUUAAAAAUGUUAUAAAUUAAAAGUUAGACAACAAUAUCUAAAUUUUGAAGUUCACAUAUUCUUUCGAUAUGCUCUGUAGUUCAUGUCAAACUUGUAUCUUCAAAGAGGGAAAAAAAACGAUUUUUUUUUUUCAAAGAAGCACUAAAAAUUUCAAAUAAAAUCCCUCAAAUAUCAGUUUUUUAAUUAUCUUCUAUUUUAACUACCUAAAUGUUUAUUUCAGCCUCAUAUCCGGACACAAAUAAUUAUAGAACUCUCCAUGCUACCGAAGAAUUUAAUAUAGUUAAUUAUCAACAAAUGACAGAAAAAAAAGUUAGAGAGUAUCGAUAUACAGUACAUUUUCGUAAUACGAAUAUACUAAAAUGUACUUAAUUAAGUGUUGACCUUAUUAUUGAAUAUGUACACUAAUAUAUAGGAAACGUACGUAAUACAUGAUCAAGUAUGAUAUUUUAUAUAAUAUACACCAACUAUAAAUUACUGUUUAUAUAUAAUUAGAACAAGAUUACUUGAUUAAACAUAAAGUAAAUUAUAUUAUAUAUUAACAUAGUUGACAUUUAAACAAAUACUUUUUUUUUUUUUUUUUGAGAAAAGGUAGCGAGCUACCCGCUUCAUUCAUUAAGCAAAAUGAACUAGGCGUACAGAUUGGAAGCAGCUGGGGCUUCCGGAGCAAGAGACAGGAAAGUAGAAAAACAGAAAACCAAAACAAGAAAAAAACUGAAAGAAACAAAGUAAAAGUAAAACAGGAAAGAACAGGCGCAGGGGCAGAUCACAGUAGAUUCCUCCAAGAUGUCACUAGGAGGUUGGCGCGGUCAAGAGCUCGAGCCGCAUCAGGGGCCUUUUGGUUGAAGAUAAAGUGAUUUCUUUCAUUCCAGGCAACCCACCAGAUUGCCGCCAAAGAAGUUAGACCUUCCGAUCUCUUUUGUGCGUCGUUAGUGUUGGAGAUAGUGGUCAUUUAAACAAAUACAAAUCAGAUAUGAUUUAAUUCAUUUAAACAGGCAUCAGGGGACAUUUAAACAAAUACAAAUCAGGAGCCGCAUCAGGGGACAUUUAAACAAAUACAAAUCAGAUAUGAUACAUUGAACAGGCAUUUUGAUCGUCGCUGUCCACCUCUAUUAACUAUUCAUCAAAUUCAUUUAAGUAUUGUAACAAUGGAAACUUGACCAAGCAACAAGGCUUUGGUUACGAGUAUUUCAAUGCCCGUGUAUGUAGGAUUUUGAUCAUGCAAAUUAAGUAUUCAUGAUUAAUUAGAACUUACACUUUGGUCAAAAAUUGUAUAUUGCACUAUAUUUAUAUUUAUAUUUAUACGUUAUGAUUGAUCCAAAGUAUCGUGACACGCACUUUGAUAAGUCAAAGAGUAUAUAUAUUUAUUUAUAUUUAUUAAAUUCAUUGUUAUAAAGUGUAAAAUUUUUUAUCCUAGCUUUAUGAUUUGGUCAACAAUUAUUGCACUAUAUUCUAUGCCACAUGAUUGAUCCAAAGUAUUGUGACAACUCAUCUUGAUAAGUUUAAGUGUAUAUGUUUAUUUGUAGAAUACGAAGUUAUUAAAUCGUUGUAAAGUGUAAACUUUAUAAAAAAAGUUCUCAAGUUACUCUAUUUUAAAUGGUACACUACAACAAUUCUAUUACACUACAUGAAUUAUUACAUCGAAAUUAAAUUAUUAUAGAAUAUAUUUUAUUGUAAUAAUUUGCGCUGUUGUGAUAAUACAACACCAUAAAAUUUAUAACAACAAUUCUUUUUGUUACAAAAAAUUAUGAUAAUUAAUAACCAUCAAUUAUAACACUAUAUAUUAUUGGGAAAAAAUGAAUUUCCAAUUGUGAUAAACUCUUAAAUGAGAUAUCAAAGGGGGGAUUGCAUUUAGACCAUUAUUUUCUAAUUGAAAGGGAUAGUGCUAAAGUGUUGAACUAUUUUUCUGUAGAAUUUUGUAAUAAAUAAGUUAUUUCACUUAAGAGAGAGAGAGAGAGAGAGAGAGAGAGAGAGAGAGAGAGAGAGAGAGAAAUAGUAAUGUCUUUAAAUACUCUGUUCUAUGUAUACACCCCUACCUGGUUGGGACUCUAUGAAAGAAAACCAAUUUGUUUCCUAAUUAUGAAAUUGGAGCUUAUAAUAAUACUAGGGGAUUUUUUGGUCGCAUGCAGUUAUAAUUGUACUACAGUUUUACCUGGAUGUAUAUCUAAAUUCAACGUUUGUUUUGAUACAUUUAAAUUCAACUACUAUAGUUGUAACUGCAUGAGAAAACUCAAGAAUUACGCCUAAAUUGCCUGCAGUUUCAACUAUAAUACUUUUAAAAAAUAAUUUAAAUAAAAAUAAAUUUACCUUCCUAAUAACCUUUUAAAUAGUGUUUUUUUAUCCUUUCCUACAUCGGGGGUAAUCUCUUAUUACCCCAUAUAUUAAAUGACAGAAAUACGUAAAUGCACUUCUCAACAGCCGGCAACCAAACAAAGUAUUUAUAGCUACAUCGCUUUUUAUUACAUGUAACCAAACAAAUAUAUAUAUAAUUAUAAUUGCUGUAUUUUCGCUGCAUGCAUCUCUAAUUACAAUGUAAUUAUAAGAGAAAUGAUUCGGUACUUUUUUAAAAAAAAAAUAAAAAAGAUCUUAACCGUUGAUUAAUAGAGGGUAAAAAUGUAACUUUAAUACUUAGCAGGUAAAAUGAUUAUUUUAUUCAAGGUUAGUUUGGUAAUUAAAUACUACAAUAUUUUAAGAAACUUUUAAUUGAGGUCCUAAAUCUAUGCAUUAAUUAGCACUAAUUUAGAAAAUUAAUUGAUUAACCAAAUUUAUGCAAUUAUUAGUCAUUAAUUUAGGAAUCUACUUUAAAUGUUUUAGUGCUUCUCAAAUUAUGCAUUAAUUUAAAUUAUAGAAAUUUUAGAAAUAGUUUUAUUUCUAAAUACGAUGAAUUUAAAUUUUAAAAAUUAAAUACUUAAAAUUUAAAAGUGAAAUUUAAAUUAGAGGAAUUUCAUAUUACUAUUUAAAAACUAAAUUUCUACCAAGAUUUAAAAUACAGUUUAUUCGCAUCAGUUUAAAACGUAAUGCAUAAAAAACUUAGAGAGUAAGAUUUCUACAACUAGAUUUCUCUAGAGGAAUUUCAUAUUACUAUUUAAAUUUUAAAUUCAAUGAUUUAAAAACUAGAUUGAACCGAUUGAUUUGACUGAUCAGACUUUGACCUAUUCUAUCAAGAAUCUGAUUUUAACCUAUUGAACCGAAUAACAUUAAGAACAAUUUGGAACCGGUAAAGAUAAUAAAUAUUUUAAACAGAAUGAUAAUUUAACUGUUAGAGCUAAUAAAUAUUUUAAAUAUAAUUUUAAACAUAUAAAUUAAAAAGAUUAGAAUUAUUGGUGAGAAAAAAAAUAGUUAGGAAUUUGAAUUCGAAUCUGACUAACAAUCACAAAACUUAUUUCCGAACUCGACAGAUUUCAAAAAUCUAUAUCCAAAUUCAAAACUGACCAAUUUUCCGAAACCCAAAACCAAACAUAAACCAGAAGACUAGAAUUCAAACAAUUAUUUCUAUUUACCAUAUUUCAAAGUAUUUAUAUGAAACUUAAAUUUUUAAAAUAUAAAUUUGAAUAUAAUAUUAAAUUUUAAAUUUAAAAGUGAAAUUUAAAUUAGAGGAAUUUCAUAUUACUAUUUAAAGUUUAAAUUUAAUGAUUAUAUUGUUAAAUUAUUUGAAAAUUUUCUUAUAUGAAAUGCCAAAUUAUGAAAGGAAAGAUAGAGAGAGUAAAAGGAAACAAAGAAAAAAUAAAAAUUUUAAAAAUAUAGUAAAUAUAAAAUGACUAAAUUGCCCAUGUAUUAAAAGACAAAAAUAUUCUUUUUUGAGGUACCUGGUAACCGGUACCUCUCCUAAAGUGACCUGCUAUUGCAGGUCACAAUUUAAAAAAAACUAAAUCCGAGCCGUUGAAUACACGUGAAUGAACGGUAACAAAAAAAAAAAAGUAUAGAAGCAUUACUCAAUUAUAAUUACGUCAAAUCAAAUGACCCCUAAUAUGCUAUGAAAUCAAAGUUUUUUGUAACUAUGUUUUGUUGGCUUAAAGAGCCAGCAUCCUAUCCUGUGGUGAAGAUCAAGGUGGGUCGAGUCAUAAUUAAAGUCUGUGAGCUGUGUGGUGGAGGCCGGGGCGAGCCAAGUCACAAUCGAGACUUGCUUUGUAUCUAUAUGUUUUAAGUGAAUGAAUUAUAUAUUUCUAACAACUCGAACUUUUGAAAUUAACGGUUAGCACCAACGAUCCUACAUAGUUCACUUAAAUUUAUAGAUGUAAAUGUUAUAUGAUUCAUUUUGAAAAAGCUUCCACUACAACAUCACAUUAUAGGCCUACUUAAAGGCGAUCAUUUGAAUAAUUGCAUUAUUAUACUAAAUUCCACUUAGAUGAGAUCAAGAAUGAAAUCAGAGUUUAAAAUACAAAAACAUUGUGGGUAUAUCUCUUGUGACAAAAAGGCACAUCCAACUUAUGCUACAUCCACCAUUAGUGGUAUUUGAAUGUUGCACCAUUCUCAAAAAGCAAAAUUUCAUGAGGACCCAUAAGCAAAUAAUAGAAAAAAAAAAUAUAGUGGUACAUGCUAUGAUUGGAAUAACCUGAUAAGGGGGUCACCAUCACUUAUUAUUUGAUGUUCAUGGCCCUAUAAUAUGUCUAAGAGGUGAGGAAUUCUAUUCUUCGAGUGUGUGCUUUAAAAAUGGUGCAAGGGCAUGUUGGUUUAUAUGAAUUUAGGCAAAAACCUACAUAAAUGGAAUCCAACAUAGGUAUUGGGGUGCUUUUUCAAGUUGAACUUGUGUUAAUUGAUGAUUCAGGGUUGAGAAUGUAUAUAUAACUUAAGGACCUGUUUGGAAGAGAAUAAUUAAAGUUCCAUAACUUUAGCUUAUGUUUGUAUCUCAUUAUUGGACACUACAAUUCUUUUUUUCUUGUGUGUGAGGCUAAAAAUUAAUUGGAUUGGACCGAACCGCGAGCGCGUAAACUAACACGUAAACCAACUCAAUGCGCCUACCCGAAACUUGGUUUUGCCACUUAAUUAUCACCUGCACUAGAUGCAGAAGCAUUUCCAUAGUAUAUUCCUAGAGGUGCCAAACACACUUCAAAAUUCAACUGCUAUUCUUGUGCCAAGUUGCAUGUUUCUUUUUUUUUUUCUUUUUUUUUUUCUUUCCUAACAAAAUACAAUCUAGGGUUUCAGUGGUUGUGAGGAGUCAGAGAUCACUUUAAUUUUUCCACAGUGAACACUUUGUAUCUCCUAUUCCCCUCCUCAUCUUUUCCCCACUAGAUUCAUCUAGAAUUUGGUGUAUAAGUGAUCAUGAGGGUGACUUUUUUUGAUGAAGUAAAUCGAUAAUUAGAUCAUAUAAUUUAUUUGGAUUGUUUCCUGUGUUUGAUUCUGCAAAACAACUGUUGUACUCUAAAAGGUUAAGCUUUUAGAGAACAGUGUUUAUAUAAUUUUAUAUUUAAUAGAUUCCAUAUAGAAAUUUAGUUGUAAUAUAAAUUUGAAUUUACAAAUAUUUUUGUUAAAAAAUCAGCUUUGUGUUAACAAUAAUAUAUAGUUCCAUAUUAGAUACAAAAUCAAACCUUAGCCUAUAUAUAAUGUAGCGGUUGCCUCUGAAUUUUGUCAUAUCAGAUACAAAAUCAUUCGAACCUUAGCCUACAUAUAGUGUAGAGGGUACAUCCAUCUAAAAGCAUAAUUUUAAAGGUUGAAAUUAAUAAUUGCAAAAGAGUCAAAAUUUUGUUUCCAAUCGAAUCUUUCUUUUCAUUGACUAUCAAGGGAAGCAAAGCAUCUUUUCUUUUUUUUUUCAUCCUUUCUUUGUCUUUUUGCCCCAAUUUAAUUGAAAUUCUAACAGGCCAAUGAACUUAGAUGGCUCCAACCCAGCAUGAACUUACAUGUUGAUCGGUUAGUCGCUUGUCGCAAAUUACUCUCCCCACUCGCACUGAUGCCAAUUCAAGUUUCGAGUCAAGAUAACAAAUUGAAGGAUAUGCUAUAAUUUGCUUGUGGCCCAAGUUAUUAUAUUUUGCAUGUAAGGGUUUGUUUGACUCAAGUGGAGCUUCUGUGCAAGUUUUGUUUAAGCGCAAUCGUUCACAAAACUACAAACUUGUUUCAUUAAAUUCAAAAAAAGCUUCCAAUCGAAUUCGAACAUCUGCUUUCAGCUCUUCAAAACUCAAUCUUCUUCUUCAUGAGAUACUAUAUUGUUGCUUCUUGCAGUAGAGAAACUGCUUCACAAAACAAAAAGCUUCACAAAGUGCAUGGUUGCGUGUGGUCGGAAAGAGAUGGAAGCUAAAAAGAGAUGCAAUUGCCGCUAAAAGAGAACUCAAGAUAUCAUUAACUAAUCUCAUUGUGGUCAGCCAUUUCACUGUACCCUAUUAGAGCUGAGAUCAAUGUCUUAUGCUAUAAUAUUCCUAAUAAUAAUUGUUAAUAUCCCACUAGGGAUUAGAACUCAAUACCCACCAUCUAAGAACAUGUCAACCAAGUAAUGCCACAUAAAAUAAUAACUAAGGAGAGGUUUAUUAGUGAUAUCCACUUGGUAGGGGGGAUGAUACAAAAGGCUAUGGUCAACCUCCCCUUAGCUUAGUGUUAAUAAUGAAGUGGAAGUUAAUUCCAUCUCUUAAAGCAAAGGUUGAUCAAAGUGGUUUGAUUUUGGAAAAGCUGAGCAUUUUCUUAGUGUUUGACAAAGGCUAAUGGUUUUGAUGAUAAGGGGAAUCACUUUUGGAAGCUUUUGAGGGGGCAAAUCAAUGGUGCUUAGUGAUGAAGGGUGUUUAUAGUACUUAGGUGGAGGGGGAAAUAGUGGUGAGUUGUGGUUUGUGGGGGUCUCACUCAUUUUGGGCAAUUGUCCCCCUUUCCAUUAGCUUAAUCAUGGCACUAAAUCUCAAGUCCCAUUAGAUAGUGCCUAGUGUUCUCUCAAUAAAAAAAUUAUCUUAGAAAAUAUGAUAUAUUAUGAUGGUUGACAUGUCUCUACUCUUUUGAUGUGUGACAUUAAAUCUUAAUAACAAAUCUAAUAGAUUUAAAAAUCUUGAACACCGAAAGUAUAAGUUACCAAUUUAGAAUUUCUAUUCUUACUACAUAGAAAAGCUGGUAGAGAGCUUUCAAAAAUUAUAUAUUUUUUAAUAGUAAUAUCAGGUAACACUUUAUUUUUUAUGUCAAAAUCCACCAAACUGAAAAUGAAGCUAACAGAGAGGUCAGAGCAUCGAAUCCUUGUAAGCUUUUUUCGGUGUUCUAAAUUUCAUAGUACAUAUGCUUUUUAUAAGGAGAGUUUUUUUUUUUUAAAAAAAAACUCUUUUAUAAUGAUUGGUUUUUUUUUUUUUUUGUGAGAUAGGAAGUACGCUACCCGUUUCGUUUAUUUUAUUUAGAAAUAAACUUAGCUGGAAAUGUGAAUCAACUAGGAUUUAAACUUUAGACCUCGGAUAUCAAUCAUUCUUUUCCACCUGCUCUAGGGACGGUCGAUUUUAUAAUGCUUGGGUUGAAAAUUAGGAUGCUUGAUUUUACUUGCAAUGCAAAGGCAGCUCAAUUUGCACGGCAUUUAAUUGACUAGUCAAUAUGAGAAUUUUGAAUCUUAACAAAGAAGGUUCAAAAAAAAAAAAGAAAAAAGAAAUUACUGUUUUUAGUCAAAGCUAUUAGCUUUUAUUAGAAACAAGAGAACUCAACAGAAACUCCUAGUAGAUUUCUAUUUUUUUAUUGUUUAAUUACGAGUGUUUCUUUUGUGAACAAAGAAAAAAAAAUACUAGCAAAUUAAAAAUUAUUUCUUUUAAGAUCUUUUACACACUUCCGACUACAAUACAAAUAGAACUAGAAAAAAAAAAUUAUAUGCAUUGAAUAUAAAAUAUUAAAAUAUUAUUCUCUCGCUAUUUAAAUUUUUAGAGACCGGACCGGAUCUCCGAUGCAAAUCAAUUAGGUGUUACACUUUAUCAAACUUUUAGAAUAAUUGGUUGCCUCAGACUAUGUAAAUAGGUAUUGAGGAAAUUUAUACACAAUUUCAAAAGAUGCGAGGGACAAUUUUAAAAAAGAAACAAGUUUAUUUUUAUAAAAAUUCUUAAUUAUUGAAUAGACUUGCCAAACCCAAACCCCAAUCAUAUUCAAGUGGGAUGUACUUAUGCUUAAGCCAUAUCCGGGUCGAAUCCAAACUCGACCCAAUAUUAUACCCGGUCCAAAAUCCCGAGUUAGGCCCAAAUCCCUUUAUUAUAUUAACAAUAUUAAGGCAUACCAAUUAUAAUUUGCGCCCGGCCCAAUAUUUAGUGGUGAAGUAAUUUUUGCUCGUAAAUGCCCACUUUCAUUCUUUGGUUCGCCGUAAAUUAAGCUCGGCCGUCGUAAUUAUCUCGACCUCGAUGGAUAGAAAAAUCAAUUGCAAAAUAAAAGAUACAGAAAAAUAAUAAAAAAAAAUUAGUGUGUUUUCAAGGGCAUUGAUUUUCUAUCGAACAAACAGCACUGGAAAAAUAACUUUCAUCUGAAUUGAAAAUUAUCGUAUACCUGAAAAUUACUUACGGAUAAACGAACAUGUCCUCGAAAAUGAAUGCUCCAUAGUUACAAAAUUUCGACCAUUCGCGCGGUCGGCGCGAAGCAAAUAAAUCUCACAAACCAAUUUACUGGGGAAAAAAUAAGCAAUGUAGCUCUCUCUCUACCUUCAUCACUGCUCAACAUUCAUAGAGAUGAAACAUGUGGGCUCAGGGAAAUUAUUGUGAGCACCUAAGCAUGCAGUGUAACCAGGAACUGUGAACAUCAGAAGGGGCAAAUGCAUGCACCGCAGUUACGUUACGAUCCGCCUCUUCGGUGAAUUGCGAGCGUGAAAUAUAUGAGAAUCAUUGUCCCAAUACUCGACCUGUCGCAAAAUUAUGUUGCAUUAGUCCUAUAUUUUGAGAUCAAUAGUUCGACAGAAAAGUUACAAUAAUAUACUAGAACAGUUAGUGAGUGAAUAGAAAGGGAAUUUGUCUCAGGCAAAAUAGUCAUGGGGGGACAUGACCACAUGAGAAUCGAGGGACAGGUUUUCGAUGGCCGAGAUCAGAUAAUGCCAACUCUAGUAAAUAAACAGUUACGCUGACAAAAUCAGACAAGCAUGGUAAGCGAAUAGUUUCGCGAAUUGUUCGCAGAAUGAUGCUUCCGAAAGCGAGCACCACGAAUCGCAAUUGCGUUCGACUAUCCAAAAUGGUGAGUAAGUUAACACUGUCCACCAGUAGAAAUCUUAAGAUUCCCCUCUGGCAUUGAAUUUGCCAAAUCUAGAUCGCAGCAGCAGUGGUCCUUGGGAUCAGAAACUCUAGGCCCAGAUACACAAUUGGACCGACAGUGACACCAUUUUUCGUUCUCGUCGGGGACUGUUCCUAAAUAUUAUACAUCCAACAUUUCUGUAUUCAGAACAAGAACAAAGUUGAGGAUGCAUACAGAGUUGCAAAGAUGAGGAGUAUUUUGCGAGGGUGCAUUGCUGCGAAGCGACUAAAUCUCCGACUCCUCCCUUCCCCAGAAUCAGUGAGAAUAGGGCUAGUGGCCGCAGAUUGCGCGGCCAGGAUAGCUUUGUUCGGCAUCGAAGGUAGCUUCAGCAGCUCCAACUGCAACGGCACCACUGCAACGAGAAUUACAUUCAAAAUGCAUGAUAUUUACUGUUGUUGCAAAUUCAAAAGCACUGCUUUCGAGUUUCGACUUAGAUAAGAUUAAGAAAGAAAAAAGGAGACUAGCCCACAAUGGCGUACCUUUAACAAUGAGUCUUUUCGACGCGUCGUCUGUUUCUUGCUCCUCGCCACCCCGCCUCUCCAUGCGGUUGGAACCCUUACGAGAAAGAGCUCGCUGCGAAACGAUUUACAUUAUCUAAAGCGGCACUCUCGCAACGGCCAUAAUGAAUCUACACUACACAGGAAGAGCAAAAUGAAACUUACGGCCGCUUUCGGAUUCGCAGAGCAGCAUAUUUCCGGUGGCUGCGCCGGACCGUCAAUGUCCAAAACCACAUUGCUCGCAUUGUCCAUUGCUGUUAUCUGAUUCUGCAACAACGCAGAGGCGUAAACAAUCAAUUGAAACAAGAAAAAUCACCAAUGAAUCUGAGUUUGAUAACAACUAAAGUAUGUAAAAAGAAUAUAAAUUCAUCGGCAUAUUAUUAUAACCAUUAUAACUGCAUUGGACGGUUCCUCGCAUAAAUUUGUGAUCUGCUACUCAAUUUGCACCAAAAUACUCAUUGAAAAGACAAAGAGGCCAUAGUAAUUGUAGGGCCCUACCACAUUUACCACAUAAAACUAUACUAACCGGCAUUAAAGCCUCCUCCAUUUCCGAAAUUUACCGCGUAAAAAAAUCCAAACGCGAAAAAUUUACUGCAACUGAUAAUCAAAAAGAAAGAUCUGAUUAGAACAUUGAAGGGCAUAAUUCAUGAGUAGUCCCUGAGCAUAGGGCAAGUCAUGCCAUUGUAAGAAAUUAUGGAAGUUCAGGGACUAACCUGCUUAAAGAGACAAAAUUAAUGACCAUAUUACCAUUAACCAAAAAUUACAGGGACUAUAAAUGCAUUUGUAAACCCUUUUGAACUAAUGAGGCAUUGGGACAAAUUCCUCUAUUUGUAGAAUUUUUUAACUUACAUUGUUUGUUUCUUUUUUUGAUUCCUCACUAAAUAAGAUAUAUAUGUUAGAUGUGACUCGAAAUCUACUAUCGAUUCAGGUUUGGGUUUACGACUCGCCGACAGCUUCGCGGUGCGACCAAUUUGGAAAAGAAAAUUAUGGAGGAAAAAUGAAUGUCCGUUGUGGGUACGGAUCGGAUCUGAAACCUGUUAUGAGUUUUUCUUUUUUCGUUUUUGCCCUAGAGGCGUGUGAUUGUGAUCGGUUGUAACUGGAAGCACAUUGUAUUCCCUUUUUCGUUCCAUAGUGAAGUUCUCUCCUCCCUCGCCCGUGGUUUUUUCCUGCAAAGGAUUUUCCACGUAAAUCUGUGUCUAUUUAUUUUCUGCUUGUGGUUUGAUUGUUUUUGUGUUCGUCAUUUCGUUUUCGUUUGUGCGUUUGUCGUAACAAUAUAUUCAGGUAUAAUAACUAAACUGUGAAAUAAGGCUUAAUUGUUGAAUAAGUUUGAACAAAAACACAGCUGUAUCUAACAGAUUUGGAUUCCUACAACAAAUUUCCAUUCUAUUUCUUUUCUUUUUGGGCUUAUUUGAAGAAAAAAUAGUUAAAAAUGUGUAUUAAACUGAAAAUACUAACAGCAAAACAAAAUUGAAAAACCAUACUUUUUUUUAAAAAAGUAAUUCACAAUAGAUGAAAACCCAUUAUUAUAACACAAAAAAAGAGAAAAUGUGAAUUAAAAAUCAAAAACUUUAAAUGUUUCCUAUUAAGAAAAGGCAAAAAAAAACCAUUUUUUCAUUAAAAAAACAAAAAAAAAAGGAAAAACCAAUGCAGGUAAUGAAUAAAAUUACUUGUUUCAUACCUCAUUCAAUAAUCCAUGUUUAAGGAUGAGGAGAAAUGGAACUAAGUAUAGAGAGAGAGAGAAAGUUAGAGAGAAAAGCAGUUUUUAGAGAGAGAAGCAGUUUUCAAUGCAUUUGGCAAUUGUUGUGGCUUCAGACUCGGACUACGAGUAUGUCUAAAUUAUUCUAUACUCUCGUCGUGUGCGCGUGCGUAUCUUAUACACCGUAACUUAUAUUUAAUAAUUUAUUAUUAUUAAAUUAAAAUUGUAUUAAUAAUUACACCGUAUAGAAAUUUAUGAAUUUGUACAAAAAUAAGUAUAAUUUGAUUUAUACAAAUUUGGUACUCAAAAUUUGUAAAUUGUACUAAACAGCAAUAUAUGUACACAAAAUUAAUUGGUGUAUGAGAUAUGCUGGUACGCAGGGUAUUGAUAUGCUGGUACACAGGGUAUUGGGACUGUCCCUCUCAUUUUUGCAAGGACACCCCUCAACAUCUCUCUAAUUAUGGAGGCAGAACAACGAAGGGAGUGGGGUUAAAAUAAAAAGAAAAGGAGAGUAGUGGAUCCACCUGCAAACAUUUGCACCGGACACCCCCUCUUUUCUCUAAAAUAUUAUGUAUAUAGUUUUAAAUUUUAUAUUCUAGUUCAUAAAAAUUCUUUGGAUUUUGAUAGAUAAAUAAAAAGUAAGAGUUCUUGAAUAAAAAAGGUGUAAGAUUUACACCGAAUUAAUUAAGUUAGAUAAAGUAUUUAAAAAUAUUAUCAAACUCAUUGAUGAUUCCAUCAAAUUUAAUAAUCUUGAUUACUUUUUAGUAGAAAGAUAACUAGAUUAAUUUAUCGAUUAAUAACUGAUAUAAAACUUUCUAUGUUACAAGAAUAGAUGUUAAAUAGAAAAUAAGAAACUGAGAGGGUGUGAAUGAAAAAAAAUUAGUUGAAGAGACUAUCGCUGAUGAAUUGUAAUUUCAUGUGCGACUUGUAGCGGAUUAGUUUUAUUUAUUUAAUUUUUAGAACCAUAUUUAACAUAACAUUAUACGAAUUAAUCAUACGGCUUAUCAAACUGUCUGAAUAAAAACUCGUAAAUGACUUUUCCAGUGAAGUCGUACCUCAAACAUUGGAUUCGAAAUUUCAAACGGAGGCACGAUUUGAAGUUUUAAUUUUUCUUUCUUUUUUGAUUAGAAAUGUGUCAGGCUUUGCUAUUUAAGGCCUUAUUAAGAUGCAGGGCAUUUAAAACCAAAACUUAACCCCUGUUUUAUUGGGUUCAGGCCGGUCGAGUCACGUUGAUUGGGUCGAUUAUUAAUCCAAGUUCACGAUGAAUUGCAUUAAGCGUCUUCAAAACUUUCCUUCAGAUUCAGUUUUGAAUCCUAAUCACAACUGGAUAAAGCAUUUUCGCGAAUGGCGAAAUUACAACCAAUGAAUGAGCUCAACUUGUGCUGCAGCUCAAAGAUUAAAGGUUAAAGAUGCAGUUUUACUCGAGCAAAUUUUUAGAAUCAAACGGAAAUUUCAAAAGCUCAAAGCUAAAUGUGAAAGAGCAACUGCACAACUAUUCACUGGCACUGUUUUACCUGCUGGUACAAUUAAAUUUGCACUAUUGUUAUACAUUAUACAUUACUAUUAUUUGUCACCAACAUGGUGAAUUAAGAAGUUAAUAUUUUAAAAUAGUUUAAACCCAAUCAAUCUCCAGUUCCUUGUAGAUCUACUACAGUUGUCAUUCCCUGAACUGGGCCCUCCUUUCUCAUGUAACUCACAUGAGAUUCUCUCAUUGGAGAAAUUUUCGCUUGAACCUAGGGCGUGUUUGGUUCAUCUAUUUUAAACUAUGAAAUCGGAAUGAAAUUCAUUGAUUUCGAUUGUUGCCGUUUGUUUUAUAGGAAUCGGAUUCCGAUUUCCAUUCCACUCCGGAAUGGGAAUGACAAAAUUCAUUUAUGAUCCAAUUCGGCUUUAAAUCCCGGAUUGGUUCAUUCCAAAGUAAACUAUUCAAAAUCCUCUUUCAUCAACACCUAUCUCGUCUCCCUUCAUCACUUUCCUCUUUCUUAAUCAAAACCCUCUCUAAAAAAUUUUAAAUUUUCAUUCCGAUUUUCAUUCCAAUAAUAAACCAAACAUUUUUGGAUGAUUCGUCAUUCCAUUUUCUAUUCCAAAGCAAUUCAAUUCCAUUUUUCAUUCUUAUUUCAAUCAUGAACCAAACAUGCCCCUAGUGUAACUGUACAUCCUAUGCAGUGCAUUUUAUGAUAAAUAUUUUAAAAUAAAAAUUUAUUCGGAUAGAUUUGAUUUAGAACAGAUUGCAAAGUUCAUAAGAAAACCUAUUGGUAAUUCAAAAUAUAUGUAAAAAUUUGUCAGAACUAUACAAUUUGAAAGAUUGAUCUAUUUAAAAAAAAACGGUUCAAAAAUAUAUUUAACUAAUAAGACAAGAUGCGUGUUAAAUUUAUCUGUUAAAUGGUAUAGAUGCGCAUUGGAUUCACGACCUCACGAACAGGUCGGUUGUCAUGCCAUGUUACCAACAAAUAAAUAUAAUAAAAUAAUGAAUCGCGACAACAUAAUACAUGUAAUAGAUUAAACUCUUGAUUGAUUUUCAAACUACUAUAGUAGGGUUUUAGUAGAGUGGUGCAUGAGAUGUAUGCAUACACCUGGUGCGCCCAACAGUUUUAUGCCCACAUCACCGGUGUUUGGCGCACGUGGUAGGCAAUAAAGCGAGUCGACUCAUUAAUUGUACUCGUCCGUGCCCACGCCGACCCUCGUGCACCGGGUCUAAUAAAAAAUUGGGUCUAAUCAGCUCGCACGUACGCCCUCUGCAUCUCCACCGUCGAACACGAACUCCCGUGGCAACAGAUCCACAUGAUCUGCGCCAGCUGGCAACUGGUGGUGGGGGCCACAAUUCGGGCCCUCGUGGGGCCCACCCCGGUUGCAAAAGAGACUGAAAGUUGGACCAUGCAUUGGACCCCCGUGAGAAUAGUGGGACCCACAAAUUUACUUGACUGCUUGAGGGCGGGUAAAAUUGCACGUACACCCUUACACCUAUUCAUAAUCAUGUGUCCUUCCUCAGAAAACUCCCUCUCUUUAUCAGCUGAUCAUGAAAAUUCAAAUUUUUAUUUAAAUAACUAUUUUGCCCUUAUCGAUUUACUAUAUCUUUUAAACUUUAGUUCCUUUUCCUGCUUUGUCUCAUCCAAAUUGUAAACACAUUUCUCUCCAAGAUAUAUUUUGUAAACUAUAAAUUGUAAAUCAAAUAAUAAAUGAGACUUAAAAAAUUGAUAUUUGAUUCUUUAUUAGAGAAGUUUUGGGGAUACAUGUGCAAUUGCUCCUAACUAAUAAAGGUUCUUUUUUGGGAGUGAUCUCAUUUAUAUCCUGCGCAGGGAUAGUAGCUAAGAGCUUUAAAUUCAUUCACCCAUUUCCUGAGACACUUCUCAUUUAAUCCUCUCUCUCCUCUUCAUUUUCUCCAAUCUCUCUCUCUCUUUCUCUCUAGAACCAUCCCUUUCUCACACUCUACAUUUCCUCUAUCAAAACCCUACUCUCUCACUACCAUGGGGAUCUAAAUCCCCAUUUGUCCCCCCCGCCCCCCCAUGCAAAGGAAAAGGGGAAAAAAAAAAAGCUGUGAUUUUUAUGGACCCGAGGAGUAAGUAGUAAAUAAAUAGAAAUUGAGGGGGAGUACCGAGAAAAGACCCCCUCAAGGCAUCUUCUUCUCCGUUGCACCCUUUUUCACGUGGUGGCGCGCGAAGCGCCAAUCUCUUCUUCGUCUUCUUCUUCCUCCUCUCAAAGGCGUCGCCUUUUGGGGACAAUGUGAGCUCGAUCGAGGCCGAAAAUGGAAAAAAGGAGCCAUUUUUAGCUGCUUCCGAGCGAUUUUCCCGCCGCCUAAUGUCCAUGGAGCUCGAGCCCAUCUCGCCGAGGUGGUUGUUCCCCUUACUCUGUUUCUUGGUCCUCUGCGUCCCCAAAAGCGCUUCCGGAACCAGCGACGCAGAAGCGCUUCUGGCGCUGAAGGCCUCGCUCGACAUCUACAACUCCCUCCCAUGGCGACGCGAGGACGCUGACUCCCUCUGUUCCUCGUGGAAGGGGGUAAAAGAGUGCUCCGCUAAUGGCCGAGUCACGAAGCUCGUCUUGGAGUAUCUCAGCCUCACGGGGGCGCUCAAAUCCGAGACCCUAGCUCCUCUCGAUCAACUCCGCGUCCUCAGCUUCAAAUCCAACGCGCUCUUCGGCCCCAUCCCCGAGCUCUCCCCGUUGCGCAAUCUCAAAUCCCUUUACCUCAACAACAACCGCUUUAAUGGCCGAAUCCCCCCAACUCUCGUCGCCCUCCACCGCAUAAAGGUCGUGGAUUUCUCCAAUAACCUCCUCUCGGGGCCCAUUCCCAAAACCCUAGCCUCUCUCCCGCGCCUCUACGCUCUCUUCCUCCAAAACAACAACCUCACAGGGGAGAUCCCUCCCUUCAAUCAACAGACCCUUCGUUACUUCAAUGUCGCGAGCAACAACCUCUCAGGUACGAUCCCCGCUACGAAAACCCUCGCCCGCUUCGAUUUGAGCUCUUUUGACAACAACCCAAAUCUCUGCGGCGCCCAAAUCCAUCGCCCCUGCUCUAAAAACCCCGCCGUUGCGCCUUCUCCGAGCCCAAAUCCCCUCGUCUCCUCCUCGGUCAACUCGUUCCCUCCCCGCGCCGCCUCCCGCGACGGGAGGAGCGAAAAGCGUCGCCGGAGGCGGCGGCGGAGGCUCAUCGCCAUUGUCGCGGGCUCCGUUGCGGGGGCUCUCGUGCUCUCCCUCUCGGCAUUGGCGCUGCUCGCGUGGGGCUCUCGCAAGACGAGGAAGAUGGCGUCGUCGGCCAAUGGAGGGAGAGGGGUCGGGGGCGGGAGCAACAAGGUGACGGAAGGGGGAGGCGAAGGAGGGGGAGGAGGGGGAGGGGGAGGGGGCNGUGCUAUAUAUAUAUAUAUAUGUUGUUGUUGUGACUCUUGACCUUAAAUUUAAAUAAGAAACUAGACUAAGCUAGUGCUAGAAAAAAUAGUAUAAAAUUAAUAACUUGACCUUGUGUUUUGUUCUAAAUGAAAGGUUAAACUCCUAAUAUUCUGGUUACUUUUGAGGCUAAUUUAAGCAGGUUUUUUUUUUUUUUUUUUUUUUUAAUUUUUAAUUUUGUUGUUUUUGUACUUCGUUCAAGAACAUGGCUGAUAUACAUUCGGGUAUAAUGUGGGUAUUAGUGGGUAAAUGCGAUGGGUUCCCUGAUAGGAACUGAUAAGCCCCAAUUUGUUUGAGAUUUCAAUUAGUUUGUUUGACCCAAAAAAUUGCCUCUAAAUGCUGUUUUUUUUUUUUUUUUUUUUUUUUUUUUUUUUUACUCGUAUAGGUCCCUUACUUUUUAUCGUCUUAUAUAUGAGUCCUAAAAUUUCUAAAUUGCCCGCCACCCCACCCGCCCACCUGAAAUUUUCGUAAAAGGGCAAUGAGAUCCCUUACGUUUUUGUGUUGGUUAUAUUUAAUUUUUAUUAAAUUAAAAUAGGUCAAUUUGAAUAAAAAAAUUUACUAAAUUUACUUUUUUACAGAAGUAAAUUAAUUUUUUUAGAUUUUGAUGCUCUCGUUUCGUUUUUCUCAAGUAGUGUUAAUUUUAGAAGAGGAUUCAAAAAUUUUGAAGCUGAAGCAGCAUAAAUCAAACUUUUGACGUAUUAAAACUUCAUUAUUUAUUAGUUAUAAAUAUCCAAAUUGUCAAAUUCGGGGUUCAUUAACAUUCUACAUAAAAACCAAAAAGAACUUUUCUCAAAACAAAAAAAAAAACCAAAAAGAAAAAAAAAAUCAAAUUAUCGUUUUUUAAUAAAAAAUUAGGAGCUGAACCUUCUAAAAAGCUAACAUUUCACCUACCUUAAUUUAUCGCUCACAAAACACAGUAAGAGGGCGACCUUCGGAAUAUUAAAUAUAGCAAGGGGUUUUAUAAAAAAAUAUAUGUCGUCGUUUUACUAGCUCCGUGCACGGAGGAAUUCUACACUAUCACACUUGCACAACGUCAUCAAUUAACAAGCCAAUCAAAUUCAUUUUUUUCAAAUAAAAGUACAUUAAAAAUAUUUUUUUACAAUUAUGAUGAGACAUAUUUUUAAAAAGAGAAAUUUGAUUGGUUUGUUACGCCAUGUCACCUAUAUACCUGUUGCAUUUUAGAAUUUUUUCCGUGCGCCGGAAUUUACCACGUUGGACGGGCCCGCUUCACUUGCCAGCGUGGCAAACCGUGAUAUAUAACACGGUAAAUACUGAAUUCAAAAAAAAAAAAAACAAUUCUCUCGAUGAGCGCGCCAUAACGCGAUACCUGUAAUACUAAUCAUAAAAUAUUUAGUGUGCAGAAUUUUUCAACUCACGAUAUAAUCGCAUCAAUAAUUUACUAUUGACACGAAGAGUACAAACUACAGAAACUGUGUUGCCACCAAAUACAGAUAAUCGACAGAUAAAAACAUUCAAAUUUGUGCCCAACAUUUCAAACGAAUCUAGUCAUUUUUUUUUGUCAGUGGCUGGUGGCUAGAUUUACUGUACGAGUGUGUUAUUAGUAACAUAUUAAUAUCAUUAUGUUUCCUUUAUCUAUAUGCUUAUUUUUUUUUUUUCCUUUACAAUUAUUUGUACUAUAUAUUUUUUAAAAUCUUUUUAUGUUAAAAUUGCUACUUUGACCGAGGUGUGUACGCGGUCAAAAAAGAAGUAGCCUGUGGUGUGUCCCUGUCCAUGUGUUUCCAGGGGAAUCCUCGCUAGAAACAACGUGCUCGUGAGAAGGGAUAAUUUGUACCGUAGCACUCGAUCGGCGCGUCGCUGAGCUCGUUUUCACUGUAAACAGUUGCUUAUCACGGUGCAGUAGUGUUGUUUCUGAUCGUCCCAGGCUUUAAUUUGCGUUUCGGUGGCUCGUGAGAUUCGUAUGAUAGUAAAAUAUUCAAUUAACUUUAUGUUCAGAUUUUUAGAAAAAGAAGAAUUAAAAUGGAUGAAACAAUCGAUGAAUUUAGUAGAUUGAUUGAUAACUAUUGAUUCAUUUUUGUUUCUGUUUUCUUUUUAUUUAUUGAUGUGCCUGUUUUUUUUUUUUUUUUUUCAAAAAAAGAAAAAAAUAAUGUUUCCGUGCUGGCAGGUUCGCGGCCCUCGGGGAGCGGGAAGCCCCUGCAUUGGACGUCGUGCCUGAAGAUCGCGGAGGACGUCGCGACGGGGCUCCUAUUCCUGCACCAGCAGUCGCCUCCGGCGGCCCACGGCAACCUCAAGUCCUCGAACGUCCUCCUCGGCGCCGACUUCGAGUCCUGCCUCACCGACUACUGCCUCGUACCCUCCUUCCUCCCCGCCACUGCCGCCGACUCCUACCUCGACAAUACCGCCACCGCCGCCGCCGCCUCUGGUCCCUCUUCCGCCGCAUCCCUCUUCUACCGCGCUCCCGAGACCCGCCGCCCCAAUUCCAGCUCCUCCUUUACCCCCACCGCCGAUAUCUAUAGCUUCGGAGUUCUCCUCCUCGAGCUCUUGACAGGUGUGGAGAUAAUCAUCUUAUUAGAAAAGUUUCAGCGGCUAGAGAACGGUAUUUAAUUAUUUGGGCGGGCUCUCUCUUCAGGUGUACAAAUAACCGCCGAGUAACCGCUAUCGGUAGAAAUGAAUAUUAUAACCUUUGGAAGGGCUCAAACAUCCAGCGCGUAGAAAUUUCUUGCGCAUGGAGCUACAGAAAAUUUGUGCCCUCUCAUGCAACAUGUUCUGAUCGCGAGCCCAACACGAAGAUUUGAAAUAAAUUAGAGAAUAACUAAGCUUGAAAAGAUUUGGAUAUUGUGUGAAAUAACCGUUUUUUAUAACUGCAGGCAAGACGCCCUUUCAAGAUUUGGUAGAGGAGCACGGCGCCGACAUCCCCAAGUGGGUCCGGUCGGUCCGCGAGGAGGAGACAGAAUCCGGUGACGACCAGGCGGCGGCAGCAGCAGCCGAGGAGAAGGUAGGGGCAUUGCUGAGCAUCGCGGUGGCGUGCGUAGCGGUGGAUCCGGAGAAAAGGCCAGCCACAAAGGAGGUGCUGAGGAUGAUACGGGAGGCGCGGGCGGAGUCGAUGGCGGUGUCGUCGAACAGCAGCGACCGUUCGCCCGGCAGGUGGUCGGACACGGUGCAGAGCUUGCCGAGGGAGCAGGGAUCGGAGAGUUUCGCCGGGAGAGAUUGAUCGACGGGGAGGUCAUUUUAAACUUUCUCUUCGAUCGAAAUUUCGCUUUUGAAUUGUAGAAAAUGGUGUGUAAAUGUUUGCGAUUUAGAAGAAGAAGAAUUAGCUGCUAGGUUGAAUGAAAAAUUUUCAUUUUAAAUCUUUAAUUCAAAUUGAAACAAUAUUUUCUACUUCCCUCAGAUUUCGGUCACUUGCAUGAAAAUUAACACACUCCAAUAAUAGGAGUAUCAUAAGAUUGAUAGAUAUUCAGGGGCUUUUUGUAAAUUGGUUAACCUAAUUCAUUAAAUGUUUUAUUUAAUUUCUGAAAAGGACAUUGAACAGCUACUAACUUAACCCAGCUUCACCCAGAAGAUGCUUGUGAACAAGUAGCUUUUUAGGCAGCAUUACUAACUUAGAAAGCAAAAGGAAAAUUUGCCAAAUUAGAAAGCACUUUUUAGAUGCAAACACAAAAGGAUGAAGCAACCACUUAACUCACAUUAUUGGUACUCACAAUCUUAUCAUGUAUAUGUUUUUUUUUUUUCUUUUUUGAAUUUGUCAUAUCACUGUAUUCAUAUCUCUGUAUUGCAAUUUGCAUUCCAUAUUCAUAUAUCUGCUUCGUAGAGCAAGAAUUACUGAUUGAAAGCCAUUAAGAAACAUAAUUAAGGUCUCUCAAUACAGAGCCUCCAUUUUUUCGUGAGGUUAUAAAUGCAUGAAAAAGCAUGCAUUGAAAUAGAACCUUUUUUGUUUUUUUUUUUUUUUAUUUUUGCUGAGCUGCUCUGCAUGCUUCUAUUUCAAUCACUGCUGUUUUAUUGUUUAAAAUUUGCCUAAUUAAUUCCAACUGAUCAGUAGGUAUCCAGCAUUUGAUCUCAGCUUAUUUAGGAUGCAUUUUGAGCAAAAUAAAACAAUGUUAAUGAGAAGAAAAUCUGAGGAAGAAAAUAUUGACUAGGCUACGUAGUUCUCUUCUUCAACUCAAAAACUAACAUAAAACAAAACAUUACAAUGGAUAACAUGGCAAAUUAUUACAAGAUACAUGUGGUGCAGCUGUGGUGACAAAUUUCAUGCAGAAUUAAAACAAGAAACACACACAAAAUAAGCAGGAAAUAAGAAAGCAGUAAGAUAACAUAAAUACCUUAGGUGCCAUUAGCUUACUCCUUCAAGAAAGUGGCUUUUGUCCAGCAAUUUUUCCUUUCAGCCUCCUCCAACUUAAUACUACCAUCACGUAUAUGUCAUCGAAUAAUUUAUCAGUCAUCUGAAAAUAAGCAAUCCUCCACGAUCUUCGGAAUAAGAAAGCAAUGUACACACCCCAUAAUCCUGUCGCAAAUCCUGUUCCCAUUCCAAGAUAUAACCAUAUUGUCUCAUGAGUUCCGUUGUUGUCGUCUCUUUGAGGAUAAGGGUUUGUAUCAUCUUUGGAACAGUUGUUUUUGGUAGGAGGUCCACAAAGAUAAUAAUUGCCAAUGUAUAUUGACGGAUCGUUAAGUCGGUCCAAUUGACUCCCAGUUGGAAUCCACCCAGAUAAGUUGUUGUAAGAUAGAUUCAAGCUGCUCAAGAAGGUCAAAUCCGAUAAGCUUUGCGGAAUAGCGCCUGAAAGCUCAUUCAGCGAGAGGUCAAGAGAUUCCAAGUUAAGCAUGUCGCCUAUGUUUUUCGGUAUCCAUCCCGUCAAAUGGUUUCUUGAUAAGUUCAAACUCUGCAACAUGCGAAGUGCGACUAUUUCUUCUGGGAUUUGCCCACUCAAAUUGUUUCCUGAGAUAUCGAUAGUCUUGACAAGAUAGAGGAUGGUAGAGUACCGAAAUUCAUUCCUUUUCAUUACAAGAAGUAAAUUAUCCAUAAAGUUGAAUAAAAUAUCCGAGAUUAGGUUAAUCUUAUAUUCGUCUGGAUUAUAAUUGUUUGCCGAUGGAUGAAUCAUAGCACUAAAAUUACCAAAAGAAUGUGGUACCGGUCCCGACAGAUUGUUAGCCGCAAGAUCCAAGACAUGGAGGUAUGGCAGUUGUGCCAACACUUCUGGAAUGUCGCCGGAAAACAUAUUUGAUCGCAACUGCAGAACUACUAGAUUCUGCAGGUUCUCACCCAUCCAUGUUGGAAUUUUUCCUGACAAUUUAUUUCUGCUAAGAUCAACAAAAGUCAGAUGCUUGCAGUGCUGCAAAUUCGCAGGGAGUUGCCCGUGGAAGCGAUUAUCGUUGAGAUGUAACGAUUUAAGCGAGCUCAACAAGCCAAUGGAUGCUGGAAUUUUUCCGGUAAGGUUAUUGUUUGACAGAUCCAAAAUUUGGAGGGACGAAUUUUGCCAACACCGAGGUAGUUCUCCGGAUAAAGAGUUGUUCGAUGUAUUCAGAAUUUUUAGAGAAUCCAAUUCACACAUGUAUGAUGGGAUACUGCCAUUAAACUUAUUGCUUGACAAAAAUAAAAAGCCUAACUGUGAAAUAUUCAAGGAUAGUGGAAGCGGUCCGGAAAGAGAAUUUUCAGAGAGGUCUAACAUGUGCAGACUCUUUGGCAGAGAUGGUAUCAGACCUUCGAAUCUGUUGGACUUCAAAACAAGAAUCUCUAGAUCUUUGAAUUGCAAAAAUACUGGCAAUUGGCCUACAAGUUGAUUAUAAGAGAGAUCUAUCGUAACUAGUGACAAAUUCCACAACCAUUCAGGCACGGUGCCCGCGAUGCUUGUGUUCGAUAAAUCCAAAUAGAAAAGUAGCGUCUGCCCCCGGAGCCAUGCCGGAAACUGCGAGCCAACCAGUUUACAGGAACCUAAAUUAAGAACCAGAAGCUGAAAUGGAGGGACCCAGUUGUCACCCACGUUGACGAUUAGAGAAUUGGAGGAGAGUAAAAUUCCCACUAAACUUGAUAGGCUAGCGAGAUGAGCUUCGGAUACGACACCGUGCAAGGAGUUAAAAGAAAGGUCCAACCAAACUAAGUUCGAAAGGUUCCGAAUUCCAAAAGGAAUAGGUCCAACUAGUGAGUUGUUACUUAGAUCAACGUAGCGCACAUUCUCCAGCUGCUCUAGCCAGCCGGUUAAAUUCCCGUGAAGCUCGUUAUUGCCCAAAUCCAACAUGUCGAGGCUCUUCCACGAGCAGCGCAGCGUCCCUACCACCUCUGCAAUAUCUCCGUCCAUGCUAAGAGAGUUCAGGUCUACAACUUGUAAAUUACACAAGUUUCCAAGCGAUUCAGGUACGGUACCGUCAAAAUAAUUUUCUCCUAGGUACAAGCUGCUAAGAGAAGUCAAGUUUCCGAGUGCGUCGGGGAUCUUUCCAUAAAAUCCACCGUUUUCUAGAUCAAGAUAGGAAAGGUUGGUAAGGUUCCACAACCAUGUCGGUAAGGCGACAUUGAAGGGGCCAUUUUCUCUGAGUUUAAGGAUUCUCAGAGAUGUAAAGUUGACAUAAGACAGAGAGUUUGGAAUGCUGCUUAGACUACAAUCUUCCAAAGACAACUCUGUAAUGUACUUCAGCUUAUUAACUUCUUGCAACCAAUCAGCAGCACUAGACAGAUCCAUAUAGCUCAUGGCGAGGUAUCGGAGAGAAGAUAAAUGAGAAAGCCACGAAAGGUCGCGAGUGCUGGGGCCACUUGGAAAAGCGUUUUCUAAGCCAAGAGCGUGGAGACGAGUGAGAUUGCCUAGCCAAGGAGGUGCUACACCUAUGAAGAAUGACCCGGAGAGAUCGAGAAAGCGAAGGUUGAAGAGAUUUCCAAGUUGCUGAGGUACUCUGCCGCCAAAGCCAGAAUUNUAGGAGAGAUCGAGAUGCGUCAAAUUUUUAAAUGAACCGACGAAUUCCGGGACGGUGCUUCCAGAGAAAACGUUCGAGCUAAGAUCGAGGUGAACUAAAUGAUGUAAAACAGCCAAGGAAGGACUAACCUCACCGAGCGGAUCGUACAGCCAUGAAUUUCGCAGGCUGAGCUUCACGACGUGCCCGGUGUUGCUGUUGCAGACUACUCCCCUCCAACCAAUACAACAAUCCUGACCUGCCCAUGAAGACAAGCUCUCCUCCGUGUCGAUAACAUCGGCUUUGAAGGCGAGGAGCGCGCUCCUUUCGAUCUCGAAGCACCCACUUGUUAGGGUGGCUUGACAGCCUAAAAGCCAUAGUGUGAGUAGAAGAAGCAAACGGUGCAUGGCUGUGGUAGUCCUUGUUACAACUUACAAGUGCGUUUGCUUGCUCACUGAGUUAUUUACACUUGCAUCUUGUACCAGUAUACAUACAUAUACAUAAACACACGCACACACACGCGCGCGCACACACACACACACGCACAAAUGCUUGUGUCUAGCUACUUCACUACACCCCCUAAUUAGAAGCCUUUAAAUUCGUGCUGAUUAAUUUGAAAGCAUGUGUGUACAUGAAAUUCAUGUUCCAUACUUAGUCAAAUUCCGGCCGCAAAAGGCCCGAGAAUGUGUGAUGCUCCGAAUAUAUAUAUAUANCUAGGUACUCCAAAUACUCUAGAUCAAGUUUAACAGAGCCGAUCGACGAUUCGAAAGUCGUAACAUCGAAAACGAGCUGGAAGCACGGAAGGCUCCGUGCUUCCGAUAGCAUAGUAGCCUCACUCUAUAUAUAUAUAUAUAUAUAUAUAUAUAUAUAGAGUAUAGAAGGGGCAAAAGAUUAAAGACCCGAAGGUCAAUAAUGAAAUGAAAUAAUUUUUGAGUAAACAUGAAAUGAAAUAAUUAUUCUCUACACUGAGCAUCCUUUUAUAUUAAUGAUAUGAAAUAUCUAUUAUUUUUUAAAAGUUUACGCUGUAAUAAAAGAACAAAUUUUUAGUAUUUUAUAUUUACGAUCUCAUGUUUUGAUAUUAUAUUAAUAAAAAAAAAGUAUAAUUAUACAAAUCACCCUGCACUUUUUCACUUAUUUCAAAUAUCUUUUUAAAUAAAAAAUUUAAACAAUAUUAACUGUGCAUUCUAGUUUAAUUUGUCUCAAAUACUUCCCUCCCCUAAAAUUUUUUAUUUAUUUUAACGGUGGUGUGUUGAUAGCACAUUUUCAAGCCCAUUCAAUCCCUUUCAAACCCACCUUUUAGUACCGAGACUCAAUGGCAGCGUUUGGUUAGGGGAUAGGAGUAGAUAUAGACCCUUAUCCCCCCUUUAUAUCCAAACGCUAAUUUUUUAUUCGAGAAUAGUAAUUCUCGGUUAUUCCCACCAACACUUCAGUUUCUAUAUAAAACUAUCUAAAAUUGUUCUUAUUUCCGGGAACAACCUAAUUUUCAUCUAAAUAUUAUUUUUCUUAUCCCCAUACUUGUACCUAUUCCUGUAAUAGUCAGUUCUCGCUUAUAUCCGAACCAAACGCUACCAAUAGCAAUCACGAAAAAACAUUCACAUGAGAAAUUCUCUUCAUCUCGUACGAGAAUUCGAAUGUUUUUAAUGUCAAGUCACCUUCCGCGUAUCACAUCCAUUAAUAUUUCCGUAAAAAGUUAAUGAAAUUUGGCAAUUUUUUUUAUAAUUUGCCAAAAAAAAUUUCAUAACUUCUUUCUUGCCUAUCAUAGAGGGAAGUUACACUUUAUAUGCAGCAGAUCUAAAUUU
RNAcentral lists this long non-coding RNA (52017 nucleotides) under Ananas comosus (pineapple). Its description in RNAcentral is "long non-coding RNA (ACOM_LNC033891)". The record is from RNAcentral. Lineage: Eukaryota; Viridiplantae; Streptophyta; Magnoliopsida; Poales; Bromeliaceae.